GGGUCUCUAUCUGCUAAUGGGGUAGCCGGCAAUGCAGUCUAAGAGCUGGCUACUGCUAAUGUGAUUUCUGGAUUUGAGAGGAUGAGAACUUGAGAAGAACAAGCUUGAUACUACAAUUGCAAAAAAUAUAUUCUAUACUACAGGUAUUCCUUUCAGUAUUGUUGCAGCAAACCUUAGUUAGCUAAUUUUCUAUGAACUGGUUGUGAUUGAUUUCUGAACUUUAGAGCUUGUGAAUUGUAAUUUGUUGUUUCAUAGGAUCCUUGAAGGUCAAUACAAGGGUAUCCUACGAAAAUUCAUUACUUCCUAUAAUCAUACUAAUGUUUCAGAUUUUUAGUUAAGCAUUUUAGAAUUCUUGCAAACAUAGGAGUAUAUUAAAUCUUCAUCCUCUUAACUAGUUGAGAGUUGAGACACACCAUACAUAGGCUCUGCAAGCAGGCGGAAAUAGACCUCUUCGUCGAUGACUUCUACGAGGACGAUAUUGACCUAGAGGCUGGAGCUUUGCUACUCUUUCCGGCCAACAACAAGGGAUCGUUUACUUUUUCUCUCCCCACAUCCAGUCCUUCCCUGUUCCUAUCCCUCCUGCUUAUUUCUUGCUAUAGGGCAACAUAAUGCAAGUGUUUGUUAAAUUGUUGGUCUCAAUGCUCCAUUCUAGCAGAAGGAUUUUCGGUAGGAAGACAUAGCAUCAAUCAAGGAUUUUCGGGUGGAAGACAUAGCAUCACUCAUGGUUGUAUAGAUUUACUGUUGUAUUUCUGUAUUUUUGCAAAACUAGUUCAGUAAAGCUUGUAGCUUAUUUCAGUUCUUAAGUGGUUUUACACUUAGGCUUGUAUUGACUUACUACUUAUUUUUUCCAUAAUUUUGCAACACUAGUUCUGUAGUACAUAGUACAAUUUUUUAUGGAAUCAAGUCAAAAUACAUGUAUAUCUAGCCGUUUGUAUUUCUACAGUCAUGCUUCUAAAGAUUGUAUGGUUUUAUUUUCACUAUAGAUUUGCUUGAGUAGUUCUGUAACUUCUAGAAUAGAUCAGUUAAGAGGUUUUACUCUUAGGCUUGUAUAAACUUACAACAUCUUUUAUUUGUAUUUUUGGAACAUUAGUUUUGUAUAGCUUUACUUUAGUUUCUGGAAACAAGAUUAAAUACGUAUGUUUGCAGUUUGUAAUUUACAGUAGUAUUUUUUGUGAAUUUGCUUCACUAGUUCUGUAAAAUGUCUAGAAUAGUUCACUUCUGGAAUGAAGAGUUAAUAUGUAUUAAUCAAUCUUCUAAUUUUACCUUUUCGCUUGUAUAGAUUUCCAGCUGUAGUAUUUUUGUUAUUUUUCUUCAGUAGUUUUGGAAAAUGGACUAAAUAUGAAAAGUUGGUUCUAAUUUAUUGUCAGUCUUUUUCUAUAGAUGUUACAGUUGCAUUUUUCUUAUUAGUUUUUGGCAAUUUUGCAAUGAGAAAGGUUUAACAACUGUAGUCUGUUCUGGUUUAUAAGGGCAUUGUAUCCAUGAGGAAAUUUGUUACUUAUUUCUAAAUACAUCUCUUACUGUUUAUCUGUAUGUUGCAGAGCAACUCACAUUGGUGUAGCUUAGAUGCAUUUUAAGAUAUGGCAUGAAGCUAGCUAAGGUCUUCUAUUAUUUCUAGCAGCAUGUGAUUGACUGAACAAGAGAAGGACUCCACUCACAUAUGAAGUGCUUGCAAGUUCUUUUUAAAAAAGCAAAGGACCAGCGGUGUAGCUAAGGGCUUUAAUUUAUUAGUACUCCAUUUGUUGCUUCUAAAACACUUGUAUGCACAGAUACUAGUUUCUCUUGGUUAUCAUAAGUGAACAUUCUUUAGAUAAAUUUCGCCUAGUUUUUUUAGUGGGGAAGGAAAGCUUCAUGAUAUUCCAUUUAAAACGCUGAUAUCUAUUUGAGAAUUAAUUUAUGUGCAUACCUCCUCGACCUAACAGUAUUUUUCUACUGUAUAGGAGAAAUCUUCUCAGUUUCUGAAUCCUGAGCAGUAGCAAGUCAGGUGCUUAAUGGUGAUCCUACCAUGCAUAUGGCAUAAGCAAGUUAGUUCUAAAAAGGUCAUUGUUAAUUUGCCCACAUCUAUCCUGCAAUUGCGACAACUUAGUGCGGUGAGAUUAGAGGACGGUCAUCAAUUUAAUCUACUUUGUGGCACUAAAGUAUAGAUGCUUUUCUCCGAUGCUUUUAUGAAUAUAAUAGUCAGAUGUAGUUUAAGUUCAGAUACUUUUUGACUUUUUGUUUGGUAUUUUGCAUGUCCUCAUGUGCUUAGUACUGCAUUUAGAAAUGAUUUCAGAUAGAUUCUUCUCAUUGAAAUUCAUUUCUAACGCAGGGAAAGUAUGUAUAACCUCCUGAUGUACGUGGGUUUUGAGAAUGCUUUUCCCAGGCCAUGCUGCACUCAUCAUUGAAACUUCUAGUUGUGUAUUAGAUAGUAAUCAUUUUUGCCUAAUGUAUUGCUGUCUAGUGCAGCAAAGUGCGGUCUUUCCACCCCAGAGAAGAAAAAGAAAGAGAACUAGUGCAGUCUUUUCUUCAAAAAUGACUUUCAUGUGUCCCUUGGUGGAUGUGUUGCUCCCAAUAAUUGGGUGUCUGGACAUGCUAAAUUGUUGCCUUGUGGCCAGAUGAUGCAUAUGCUCCUUUUCCAUUUAAUAUACUUCCUGGUCUGCGGAUUGAGGAGAUUCAUACAAGCUAUAUGGUGGGUCGGUGUGGCAUUCAUGCUUUAUUAUGUCUAACCCAUCACAGAUUCUAAUUAGAACAUGCCCUAUAUUUAUAAUACUAAAAUCCCAGUUUGUUUUUGCCAUUGGCGCUUUAUACAAUUAUCAUUUUUCCAUUAUCUCCAUGAAUGCGUGAAUUCACCGGUCACCCUUUUAUCCUUUGUAGGAAUGAAAUACAAGAGGACCAGGAAGUAAGCAUGAAGAUGGCAGUUUGUGUCAGGUAGGCAUUUUGUGUAAUGGGGCAAAAACAUUGUGUAUUUUAUCAUUUUGUAAACCUAUAUAGUGUCUUGUCAAUUGGGUAUUUUGUGUAAUGGAGCAAACAAUGAAACAUUGGACAUGCAUCUAUCAUUUUGUAACCAAUCAGUUGUCUUGGUGAUUGAAACAUAAAUGCUUCUUCCUUUCAGUUAGUUACUUUUACCUAUAAGGAUAUCCUAUGUUGCAAUGAGAUAUGCAACUUGAUUGAUAUUGUUUGGAAAGGCACAAGCCAAAUAACGGUUGGGUAUUAAUAUAUCUUGCUCGGCUAAACAAAAUGCUAUCGAACUGUUGGUCGGCAAAAGAUAACAACAUCCUAUUGUUGGUUGGGAAAUGUUUAUGGCAGGGCCGAGAGAAAGUCGGUUGGCAAAUGUAGUACCGUUGGACUGUCGGUCGGGAAAAGUUCAUGGUAGGGCCAACAGAAAGUCGGUCGGCAAAGAAAGUACCAUCGAACAGUCGGUCGGGAAAAGUUCAUAGCAAGGCCAACAGAAAGUCGGUCGACAAUGCUUUGGAUGGCAGUCAAACAGCCGGUCGGGAAAGAUAUGUCGGUCGGGAAAAGGCUUUCCCGUUUGGACUUUCCCCAACAGACAGGGUCGGUCGGCAAUAGUCUUUCCCGACCGAUUGUCUGUCGGUGGAUGUUGUUUUCCCUACCGACUUGUCUAUUGGGGAUGUAGUGUUGUGGUGUAGUGUGUAACAAUGUUAUUGAUGUCCUCAUCAUGACAUCUCAGCCACCCCCGUUUCACCGUUUUGUCCAUAACUAAUUCAUCCGAAGUCCGAUUUUCACGUUCUUUAGCUCGUUGAAAAGCUCUUGACAUCCCCCUUCCUGCAAAAAUACCACCAAAAUAUUUUGACUCCAUCAAAUUUUGUGAAUUUUGGCAUCUUUGCCUAGGGCUUCCGCCACAUCAUCCGCUACACCACCACCGACUUCCGCAACCUAACCAAUUUUUCUCCCCAUCGCAUUAGUGGUUGCUUGAGGAGUGAUUUGAGUCUCCUAAGGUGUCUAGGCUACUUAGGGAUGGUUGCUUAUUCAUCAACCACCACCACUUUCGCAUAGGCUUACCAACCAUACACUCCCGCCACCCUGACCUAACCCAAUUUUGUUUGUGUUGUGAGUUGUGUCUCCUAAGGUGUUUAGGCUACUUAGGGACCGUGCUUCCAACCCCAACACCGUGUAUAGUCGACCACCUUACCCUCCACUUCCGCAUUGCGUCUCACAUCCCAUCAUUGCCAUUCCGCAAUUCCAUUGAGCUUCCACAAAACCACCACCACAUCUCGCUACCACCAUUUGACAUUUGACAUUUGAGAUUUUGAGUCGCGGUUUUUCCGUUUCCUAAGGUGUUUCGGCUACUUAGGGACGAGUCUCCAUCAUCUUGGUAUCUCCAUCAAGAUUACCGCCACUCAUCAUCACCGCGGACCAUAACCUCCAUAUCAUCGUGGUAUCCCUCCAUUGUAUAUUCUCCAUGCCAUUACAUUGAUAACCCCUAGCCCAUUUUGCGUUACUUACCUAUCGAGAUUAGUCAUUUGAGUAUUGUCGACAACAUUACAUGUGCACAUUAGUGAUCUACACCUCCCAUUGCAUACAUACCAUAACAUAUUGGCAUCAUCAUAUCAUCUCUUGUGCCUCAAGUUUUUUCCUACAUAUACCCAAUCGCUAUCUUGGUUUGUGCAUUCCGCAUUGUGGCCAUACACAUACAAAAAAAGAAUAAGCUUUUAAGCAAAAUAGAAAAACAAAGAAGCUCGUAAGAAAUAGCCAUAGCAUCAUAACACAUUGCAUAUAAGAUUGUCAUAUCCGAUCAUCUUGGAUCAUAACACUGGAACAUCAUACAUAUAUAGCAUACUUGGGAUAGAAGUCGUUGCAUUUUUGUCUCCUAUAGGUUGUGCACAAGUGUCAUAUCCGCCUAUUGAGCAAUCGUGCUAGCAUCUCUCUAGAGUUGUGCAACAAGAGCAUUUUCCACAUUUUGAGCUCAUUCCUUUGUUGCAUGACCCCAUUUAUCUAUCCGUGUGCCAUUUAUUGCUAUAGGUCUACUUGUUUCACUUGCGAUUUUGUGAAUCUCUUUCAACAUUAUUGACUCUUGCUAAAAUUUUGCAUCAAUUUUUUGUUGCCACUAUCCUCACCGAGCUCCACCAUAAGCCUUAUUUGUGUAGGUGUGAGAAACUGACAAGAAUUGGUACCAAUUGUGCUAUUUCCUUGUUACAUCAUUGAGUGAUCAUUGAUCCAUCUUCAACAUCGGUCAAGGUACAUUUGGUAUAGUUCUUCUCCUUUCUCCACUCACAUUGCUCGAGUCUUGUGAUGGAUAGGCAAUGCAUUUCAUCUUCGGUCUACAACAACAACGACGAGUUCGAUGCCACGAACAACUCCACCGACACCAAGAUGCAAGAUCAAAUGGAGGAGAUCAAAGACCUCAUCAAGUCCUACAAGCGAUCUUCCUCAUCUUCGAGAAGACGCUCAAGUACACAUGCUUCCAAGCUACCAUCUCCGGCAAGGUCACAUCGGCAUCGACACCAUCACCACCACGAAUGUGAAGGUCAAGAGCUCAACACCAACAACCGCUCAACGACUUCACCAUCUCCCUUGGCAUCUUCGCCUAUGGACAUACAACAUCUUCACCCACAAGCGCUUCAAGAGAAGCUCCCCAAGCUCAAGUCCUCGACUUGCACAAGCUACUACGACCUCGACAUCGACCAUGCGAUUCCUUUCUAUGGGACUCAAGAACCCGAGGAGUAUCUCGAGUGGGAGCGCCUCAUGGACGACUACCUCAAGCUACAUCAAGUUCCUCCCGAAGAUCAGGUGAAGUGCACCACAAGGAACUUCCAUGACUACGCGCCCACAUGGUGGCUUCACGCACCCUCAGAGAUCUACGACAUGAGUUUGCCCAAGACGAAGAGAGCUUUGCAGCAAGAGUUCGUGCCUCAAACCUACACAGAACAACUUCAACGCCAAUUGGAGAACACCAUCCGAGGAUCCAAGUCCAUCGACGAGUACUUCAAGGAGAUGAAGAUAGCCUUGCGAUGAGCCGGCGUGGACAACCCCAUUUUGAUGAGGUUCCACUUCAUGAUGGGAUUGCACAACGACAUUUCCAAGACGAUCUUCCUUGAGAACUACAAGUCCCUCGACGACAACUACAUUGGUGCUCUCAAGGCGGAACAAGAACUCAUGAAGGCCAAAGCCUCUCCACCCCAAGCUCACUUCGCGACGACCAAGAUCCAUGAUAACAAGCAUGAGGCUAGUACCACCAUGAUGUCCAAGCCUGACAAACUCCAAGACGAUGCUCCCAAGUUUGACUUCACCGCCAUCCCUCUUUGUGGCAUUGAUGAUGUUGGGUCUACUUCGACUCUUUGCCAAAAUGGUGCGGCGACGACUACAACUACGGAGAUCAUCAAGGACCAAGCUUUGGAUACGAGCGACAUGGUGAUGAGCAAGGAUGAUUCUUCCAUCUUAGGAGGCGGGAGUGGUGUUGUGCCAUCUUCGGCCUUCAUCCAUGGCGACGGCGAUGAGAUGGUUGAGCAUGGGAUUUUCCCUUCGACCACAUCGACAUAUGAUGACUUGAGUGACUUUAGCCACCAUAUUGAGAGUGAGAGUGACUUCAUCACUAGCCCGAUAUGUGAUGUGUUGCCACAAUUCCCUUGUGAGGAGAGCCACAACCCCCACCACUUGAGUGAGAUGAGUGACUCCACCAUAUGUGACAUUGAGUGCACCUACCAUGAGGGAGUGAGUGAACCACCACAUAGAGAGAGAGAGAUAGUUGAUAGGUCACGUGAGGCCACUUUCAACACUAACGACUUGACCUCUACCUCUAUUGUGUCUUCUCAUUUGGUGCCAGGUCCCGUAUAUGAUGACGCACCGAUUUGUGAUGACUACGUCCUACCUUUGGACAAGACGAUGGCCAUGGUGGAAUAUGAUGCACCCCCCACAUGGUUCCAUCAUGAUGAUGAUCUUGACCACCAUUUGGUCUUACCCACCUCACCUACACCACUAGAGUGGAAUGAACAAGGUAACAUAGGUGAAGGUGAUUCUCUAGUCUCACUAGUGGACAUUCUUGACAUUGAUUGCUUGCAUGAUGUUGAUCCACCUAUUUCCAUGAUUCAUGCUAGUGCGUCUUCCUCAUGUGAUGAUUUCUUGCCCAUUUACGAUGAGUAUGAUGAUUCUCAUGUGGAGUCUUUUAGUUGUGAUGCCAUGUUACAUAGGAUUUCUUGUGACUAUUCCUUAGGUCACAUCAUGUUUGCCAAUCCGCUUGACUUGCCAUAUGCUAUGCAUGAGAUCAAUCAUAUGCCAUAUUUGCAAUUUCUUCGUAGUGACUAUGCAUAUGCUAUAAACCCAAUUUACACAUAUGGCAUAGAUGACAAGCCCAUGGUUAUUGGCAUUUGUUUCUCUUGUGAUGAUAUUGAUAUGCUCCCUUUGCAUCAUUUAUCUCAUAUGCCAUGCCAUGACCACCUAGCCUCGGAUAUACAUUGUUUUGAAUGUUGUCCAUUUUCUCCAUAUGAUGUUUCCAAUAUUGCUCACGAGGAGACCCCCAUAGUUUCCUCAUACAUGUUUGGAGAUUUUGAUUCGUCCCAUUCGUUGCAUGAUCCCAAUACUUGUGUGCACAAUAUGCUCCCCAUGAAUAAAAAUGCUAUUGUUGUGCCACACACUUGCUAUACUUGUAUGCUCAAUUUGCGUCCCCAUCGUGUUAUACAUAACAACUAUUUUUCCAUGAUGGAUGACAUGUUCUUAUACCAUGCAUCAAAUUUCUUUGAGCAAUGCUUACCUUGUGCUAACUCACACGUGCACAUACACAUCAUUAUGGAUGAUGUGUACAUUUACCACACACACAAUUUCUUUGGUCUGUGUUUCUUUUGUGUAGGUGCCCAUGAAUACUUGUCAACCUCGCAAUCCCACGAAUUGACAAAAAGAGCUCUAGAGAGCAACGAUGACUUGGGAUCCCAUGGAUUGUCUUUCCCACCGCUCUAUUCGCGCAAAGACUUCACGCAUUUCUUCUACAUGACCCUCACUUGGCUAUGGGUUAUUGUCCAUUACAUAUUAUAUGCCCAUCUUGCCAUGUUCACUUUGCAUGAUAUGUUCAUUCCUAUAGCUUUGACAUACAUUUGUGACCCAUGCUUUGCAUUACACAUGAUGAUUGAUUCUAGUACUUGUAUGCGUAGUUGCAUGCUUGGUGGAGAUAUUGCUUGCUAUUGCCAUGUUUGCUUUGUUCCCCAUACCUAUGAUGAUACUAUGAUAUUGCUUUGUGUUUGUGCUUGCGAUAUGUCAUGUGCAUUGCCUAUGCCUAUUAUUUGCUCACAUGACAUGAUCACCAUGAUUUCCUCUAGUAUGUUGCAUCUUUGCACUACUAGCUUGCACGACUUGAUUCCUAUGAUUGCUUAUGUUGCACCACUGAUGAUUCAUACUUGCUCAUUUCAUGCGGCUGAUGACAACCAUCUACAUGCUUUGCACAUGAUUAUUAUUGCUUGCCGUCAUAUAUCUCCAUAUGUUGCUUCUCUCAUGCUAGAUGAUUUGCCAUGUAUUGAGCGCAACCAUGAUUUUCGUCUUGCUAAUGAGAUUGCCCCCAUAGCAUUCUCACAUAAGUUUGGAGAUUUUGACAUAUUCCUUGUGAAGCAUGCUUGUCUUGCCUCUUUGCACCAUAUACCUAGUGCCAUGAAUAUAGCCAUUAUUGGACCAUCUUAUUCAUGCACUUGUGCUACUAAUGGUUAUGUGUAAGAGCAGAGAACCAUCAUGAUGGACGAUGUGUUUAUCUACCAUGCGCAUACAUUCUUUGGUUUGUUUUUUGCAUGUGUAGGAAACUUGGACUUUGUGUCAACUUCCACGUCACAUGAGUUGACAAUCAGAGCUCUUGAGAGCGAACCACCUUCUACCAUGGAGCUUCUACAUCAUACUUGCUUGUGCUUCGGCAUUGUGAAGGACGCACCAGGACAUGCUUUCAAGGUGAUAUCCUUCUUUUUUAAGAACCCCCAAACCAUGAGCAUGCAUAUUGUGGAUCAUACUACUUGUGUUGCUUGCCAGAUGAGACUUAUUUGUCAUGUUGGACCCUUUGCUUGCACACAUGUUAGUGAUAUUGCCUCCAUUCAUGAUUUUCACAUUCCCAUGCAUCAUGAUAUAUAUGCCUUGUGUGUUGCAUCCAAUUCUUGGAUUACUUGCUCCUCUCAUAUGUUUGGUUGCAACAAUGUCAUCACUUCACAUAUGCCAUGUCCCAUUGAUUGCUAUAUGCUUGCCUUCAUUGCCUCACACACGACGAACAAUUGCUCUUUCCAUUGUGUUGAGUGCCACACGAUAUUCACUACACCCCAUGCACAUUAUGCUUGGAUUGUCUUGCACUUGACCCAUGUGUUUAGACACUUCAUUUUAUUUGGUGUUGUAAAUGAUUCGUAUGCCUACCAUUGACCUUUCAUUGAGCGCUUUGCCCAUGCUUGCUAUGACUUUGAGGUAGAUGAUUAUUCUUUUGUUACACAUAUUUGCAUCACUACCUCACAUUUACAUGCUUGUCCCCAUGAUAUCUUUGCUUGUGCUCGAUUGAUAUGCUUACACGCCAUGUCACAAUCCCUUAUCACACCAUAUGCUUUGCAUGAUGACAACACUUGUUUGGUCACUCACCUCUUGAAUGCUUGGUUUCGCACUAACACUAACCACAUUUGUUUUUCCAAGUGUUUGUUAUCCUUACUCCUUUUGAAGGAACCACAAGAUGGUGCGACAUUGGAGAGUGCUCAUUUCGAGGUUCAAGAUGACAAGUACUUGGUGAACGUCCACUUCUACAUGGCGAAGCCAUCUCUUUCCCAUGGUGAUUUGGUUUUCGAUGUGAGGUCGGAUCUUUCCCAAGGGAGGGGAGAUGAUGCGGAGCAUCCUAUGGACAUCACCAUGUCAAGAGUCCGUUCAGUGGGUGACACGUGCGACAUCUACUUCACAUACACAAAGGUGAAUCAUCUCCUAUACACGUGCUCACUUGACCCCUUCGAGGAUAGUAUACUACUUGACACUCCACUCGUGUGCAUGCAUAGGUAUUGUCGGAACACUACGGACGACGAGGAGGAGUGCAAGCGCCAAGGAACAACUACACCAUCCGUGAGGGAAGCCUGGAAGCGACAACAAAAGAAGACGGAGCUGCUGAAGCUACAGCGGUCGGACAUCCGGGCCAGAGGCCGGACAUCCAGCGCCUGUGCAGCCGCCCAACUGCUGCACCAACAGUCGACCGAACAAGCCUCGGCGGCCGGACAUCCGGCGCCUCCCGACAGCCCGGACAUCCGGCAUCUCCCCCGGAAAUCCGGCACUGAUGUAUCAAGAGAGCAGCUGAACCUCCACUUCAGCCCAGACAUCUGGCCGUGACCUCGGACAUCCGCUCGUCCCGAAGCCCCGGACAUCCGCCCCCAGCCCGGACGUCCGGCACCUGCGCGUGCCUAACCGGUCCAAAGGCCCAUGUAUCCCCUCCUCACGUACCCCUUCGUGGCUCUACACUAUAUAUACUCCUCCACCUCCUUCUAGUUAGGGUCAGCAUUGUGUUAGCUCAUUUGUGAGAUAGAGCUUCGCUCAUCCAUAUCGGAUCUACUCCUUGAGAGAGACCGCGGCCCCUCUUCGUAGAAGAUCCACCUUGGAUUCAAGACCCCUUUACGGGAAGAUCCCCUUGAGGAUUCAAGACCUCCUCACGGAGAAGAACCGGCUACCCUUUGUAUCGUCCCUUGUUGAUCGUGGAUCAUGUAUCUCCCUUUGUGUUCAUGGAUCUAGCACAUGUGUGAUCAUUCUUGUUGGUUUGAGUGAUUCUCUUUGUGCCCCUUGUGAUUUCCCCUCGUGUUUCCCCUCGUAUUCUUUGUGUUCGUUGCGGGAUCCGCUCCUUUCGUGAAAGAUCGGCCCCUAGGGUUUCCACCCUACAUCAGACGGUGACCGGCCCUAACACAAACUAGGAGGAAUCCAUUCAUGGCUAACACAUACCCCUCGUUAUCGGUCAAAGAGAUGAUAUAUAUACACUUAGGGAGCCCACAGAUAUGUGUGUCAUCACAAAAAACCGCACAAGGGAGACGUGGUCGAUCAGAAGACCCCGUAUACACAUCAUGUGGCCCGAAAAUAUGUAUGGGUAUGACGGUGUGUGAUGUGUUUAAAUCCCGAAUGCACAACUUCGAUGGGCCACCAUCUACAUUACAAAACGAACACUAUACCCGACUNNNNNNNNNNNNNNNNNNNNNNNNNNNNNNNNNNNNNNNNNNNNNNNNNNNNNNNNNNNNNNNNNNNNNNNNNNNNNNNNNNNNNNNNNNNNNNNNNNNNNNNNNNNNNNNNNNNNNNNNNNNNNNNNNNNNNNNNNNNNNNNNNNNNNNNNNNNNNNNNNNNNNNNNNNNNNNNNNNNNNNNNNNNNNNNNNNNNNNNNNNNNNNNNNNNNNNNNNNNNNNNNNNNNNNNNNNNNNNNNNNNNNNNNNNNNNNNNNNNNNNNNNNNNNNNNNNNNNNNNNNNNNNNNNNNNNNNNNNNNNNNNNNNNNNNNNNNNNNNNNNNNNNNNNNNNNNNNNNNNNNNNNNNNNNNNNNNNNNNNNNNCCACGCAUGCGCUCAAACUCUAUUUGGUCUAGUAUGACACACAUUUAUUUACCCCAAUGUAGUGUGCAAAUAACUUUGAAAGUUGGUCGUUUGAUGAAGCCAAUCGGAUGGUACAAAGAUGGCAAAUCUGAGCACUAUUGGCCGUUGGAUAUCAUUGAUACGUCCAUUUUGCAUCAUGUUUUCUUAUUAUUAUUUAUAAUGUUUUUAUCCAUAAUAAUGCUUUUUGGAGUAAUUCUAAUGCCUUUUCUCUCAUACUACGCAAGGUAUACACAAAGAGGGAGAAUUUCGGCAGAUGGAAAUCUAGACCUAGAAAAGCUACGUCAGGCCACCUAUUCUACACAACUCCAAACAAGCUGAAACUUCAUGGAUAUUUUUUAUGGAUUAUUGGAGCAAAUAACUACCAGAGGGGGCCCACCAGGUGGGCACAACCCACAUAGGCGCGCUAGUGAGCCCAGGCGCGCCCUGGUGGGUUGUGCCCUCCUCGGCCCACCUCCGAUGCCCAUAUUUUGGUAUGUAAGUCAUUUUGAACUAGAAAAAUAAGGGGAGGACUUUCAGGAUGAAGCGCCGCCUCCUCGAGGCGGAACUUGGGUAGGAGCACUUUUGCCCUCCGGUGGAGCGAUUCCGCCGGGGGAACUUCCCUCCCGGAGGGGGAAAUCAUCGUCAUCAUCAUCAGAAACAACUCUCCCAUCUUGGGAAGGGCAAUCUCCAUCAACAUCUUCAACAACACCAUCUCCUCUCAAACCCUAGUUCAUCUCUUGUGUUCAAUCUUGUUACCGGAACUACAGGUUGGUGCUUGUGGGUGACUAGUAGUGUUGAUUACAUCUUGUAGUUGAUUACUAUAUGGUUUAUUUGGUGGAGGAUUAUAUGUUCAGAUCCAAUAUGCUAUUUAAUACUCCUCUGAUCAUGAGCAUGUUUAUCAUUUGUGAGUAGUUACCUUUGUUAUUGAGGUCACGGGAGAAAUCAUGUUGCAAGUAAUCAUGUGAAUUUGAUAUGUGUUCGAUAUUUUGAUAGUAUGUAUGUUGUGAUUCACUCAGUGGUGUCAUGUGAACGUCGACUACAUGAGACUUCAUCUUAUUUGGGCCUAAGUGAAUGCAUUGUGGAGUAUCAAUUAGAUGAUGGGUUGCGAGAGUGAAAGAAGCUUAAACCCCAGUUUAUGCGCUAUUCCGUAAGGGACCGAUUGGAUCCAAAAGUUUAAUGCUAUGGUUAGAAUUUAUUCUUAAUACUUUUCUCGUAGUUGCGGAUGCUUGCGGGAGGGUUAAUCAUAAGUAGGAGGUUUGUUCAAGUAAGAACAUCACCUAAGCACCGGUCCACCCACAUAUCAAAUUAUCAAAGUAGCGAACACGAAUUAAACCAACAUGAUGAAAGUGACUAGAUGAAAUUCCCGUGUACCCUCAAGAACGCUUUGCUUAUCAUAAGAAACCGUUUUGGCCUGUCCUUUGCCUCAAAAGGAUUGGGCUCCCUUGCUGCACCUUUGUUACAACUAUUGUUUCUUGCUCAUUACAAAUUAUCUUGUUAUCAAACUACUCCGCUACUUACAAUUUUAGCACUUGCAGACAUUACCUUACUAAAAACUACUUGACAUUUGCUUCUGCUCCUCGUUUGGUUCGACACACUUACUUAUCGAAAACAGCUACAAUUGAUCCCCUAUACUUGUGGGUCAUCAAGGCUAUUUUUUGGCGCCGUUGCCUGGGAGUAGCGCCUUUGGUAAGUGGAAUUUGGUAAGGAAACAUUUAUAUAGUGUUAUAAAAUUUAUUGUCACUUCUUACUAUGGAAAACAAUCCUUUGAGGGGUUUGUUCGGGGUAUCUUCACCUCGUCCGGAACCACAAUUAGCUACCCCUCAACCUACUGCACCUACUGAAAAUAUUGAAUAUGAAAUUCCUUCGAGUAUGAUAGAACAAGUGCAACCUAAUCCUUAUGUAGGAGAUGGAACCGAACAUCCUGAUAUGCACUUAAUAUAUGUGGAACAAAUUUGUGGAUUGUUUAAGCUCGCAGGUUUACCCAGAGAUGAAGUUAUGAGAAAGGUUUUCCCUUUAUCUUUGAAGGGAAAAGCAUUGUCAUGGUAUAGGAUAUGCGAUGAUAUUGGAUCAUGGAAUUGGAAUCGUUUGAAAUUGGAGUAACACCAAAAAAAAUUAUCCUAUGCAUCUAGUUCAUCGUGAUCGGGAUUAUAUAUAUAAUUUUUGGCCUCUUGAAGGAGAAAGUAUUGCUCUAGCUUGGGGGAGGCUUAAGUCAAUGUUAUAUUCAUGCCCCAAUCAUGAUCUCUCAAGAGAAAUUAUUAUCCAGAACUUUUAUGCUCGGCUUUCUCGUAAUGAUCAAACCAUGUUGAUACUUCUUGUGCGGGUUCUUUUAUGAAGAAGACUAUUGAAUUCUGGUGGGAUAUUUUGGAAAGAAUUAAACGCAACUCUGAAGAUUGGGAACUCGACAAAGGUAAAGAGUUAGGUAUUAAAAUUAAGUAUGAUUGUGUUAAAUCUUUUAUGGAUACCGAUGCUUUUUAAAAGUUUAGCACUAAAGAUGGGCUUAACUCUGAGAUAGUGGCCUCCUUUUGUGAAUAAUUUGCUACUCAUGUGAAACUCCCUAAAGAGAAGUGGUUUAAAUAUCACCCACCUAUUAAAGAAGAAACUAAAGAACAAGUACCAGUUAAAGAAGAAACUAUACUUCACAAUGUUGAUCCAGUUGUUCCUUCUGCUUAUAUUGAGAAACCACCUUUCCCUGUUAGGAUAAAGGAGGAUGCUAAAGUUUCAACUGUGAUUAACAAAACCUAUAUUAGAACACCUAGACCCGAUGAACCAAUUAAAGUAGAACCUAGUAUUGCUAUGGUUAAAGAUAUCUUAGGAGAAGAUAUGGAUGGACAUGUUAUUUACUUCUGUGAAGAAGCUGCUAGAAUUGCCAAACCUAAUAAAAAGGAUAAACAUAGACCUGUUGUUGGCAUGCCCAUCAUAUCAGUUAAAAUAGGAGAUCACUGUUAUCAUGGUUUAUGUGACAUAGGUGCUAGUGUGAGUGCUAUUCCUUACACCUUAUAUCAAGAAAUUAUGAAUGACAUAUCACCCACAGAAAUAGAAGAAAUAGAUGUUACUAUUAAAAUUGCUAAUAGAGACACUAUAUCACCAAUUGGGAUUGUUAGAGAUGUUGAUGUCUUGUGUGGGAAAAUAAAAUACCCUACUGAUUUUCUUGUUCUUGGUUCCCCACAAGAUGACUUUUGUCCCAUUAUCUUUGGUAGACCUUUCUUGAACAUCGUUACUGCUAGAAUAGAUUGUGAGAAACAAACUGUCAGUGUUAGUUUUGGCACUGAGUCUCAGGAGUUUAAUUUUUCCAAGUUUAGUAGAAAUCUUCAUGAAAAAGAAUUGCCUAGUAAGGAUGAAUUAAUUGGUCUUGCUUCUAUUGAUGUACCUCCUACAGAUCCUUUAGAACAAUAUUUGCUAGAUCAUGAGGAUGAUUACAUAUGGAUGAAAGAAAUGAAAUAGAUAAAAUUUUCUUUGCACAACGUCCUCUACUUAAGCACAAUUUUCCUGUUGAAACUCUAGGAGGCCCUCCUCCACCUAAAGGUGAUCCUGUGUUUGAAUUAAAACUACGGGAUUUCAGUUUCCGACAAAACCCUGGAGGUUUGAACACUGGGGUGCGCGUGAAGAUCUUUCCCCCCAGCUCAUGCUCUCGCAACGAUCUCAAAACCUAACUUGCCCAACCCGAAGAACAAGGGACACAAGAGUUUAUACUGGUUCGGGCCAACAAUGUGGUGUAAUACCCUACUCCAGUGUGGUGUGGUGGAUUGCCUUGUAGGCUAAGGAUGAACAGAACAACCUCAUGAGGAGAGGUGUUCUUGAGCUCGGUGAGCUUGUGUGGUUGAGGAUGAUCUGGAUGAUCCGUCCCUGCCUAUGGUGGUGGCUAGUCCUAUUUAUAGAGGCCCUGGUCCUCUUCCCAAAUAUCAGGCGGGAAGGGAUCUCACAAUGAGCAAUUUGAAGGGGGACAACUAGUACAAGCUAUCCUGACAAAAUGUGGUCUUCGCCUGCCAAAGGCUCUGGUGGUGACGCCGUCAUGGGCUCCGUGAUGACCUCCAUCCUGUCAUCCUGCUAGUCUUGGUCUUGUUGCACCGAUAUGGAAACCUUUGCCUGAUGCCUCGGGACUCCUCGCCUGCGCCUGCCCCUUUAGCACCAAAGAGGCAACUGGUGCUCUACCCCCGCAGGCGCUCGCCUGGCACCCGCCUGGCCUUGGUCGACAUGGCUCACGUCACGGAACCUCACGAGGUGCCCCUCACCUUGGCCUCUCUGCUCCUCGCAAGCCAGCCUAGCAAGGCUGCCCCUGAGGAGGUCUUGUGUCAUCCGCCUCGCGAGGCUUGGCCCCUCGCGAGGGUCUUGAGUGUUUGCUGGUGAAUAUGGGCCAUACCAGGCCGCUAGAGGAGCCACGCCAUGGGCCGCAGGUAGGCAAGUCUGGGGACCCCCAUUCCCAGAAUGCCGAUAGUAGCCCCCGGGCCCAAGGCGCGCUCAGACUUGGCUUCGAGGCGAUGCCAAGGGGCAAGGGCGGAGCGCCAUGGGCCCCAACCGCAUGCGGCCUUGGUUGAUGCGUGGCGAGUGACAGGACAUGGGCAUCUCCGCUUCCCCAUGCUGCCUCGGCAACUGCCCGACUUGACGAGUCCCUGGUGCAUGCAGAAAAUGUUGGGUUCUACGGAAGGGUAAGUCGACUGCAAAUUAAAAUUUCCUACGCACAGAACAACCAAGAACAUGCUAUGGGAGAUGGAUCACAGUUCGUUACCACUAGACGCGCAGUGCUUGCAGCGGAAGAAGAGUUAGGGCAGCGCGUCCGCGUGGAUUGUCUCCUCCUUGUUCGAUCUCCCUAGAACAUCCGGUCGUCGGUUCACACGUGCAGGUUCGCCGAAGUGGCGCAAGUGCACCGCCUCUAAUGGUAUCUGUGCAUGCAAGAGGAACAUUGUGCGGCGGACUGCUAGGUUCGAUCAGACAACCGGCGGUGAGUGGAGGUGUCUAUUCGCAACACAUGCAAACCCUAGUGACAGCGCCGAAGCGAUCAACCGCAUGAGUGUGCCGCACCCCACUUUAUAUAGGCAUCCAUCGCGGGCUCAACACUUGGGCCUCGCACGGACCCUAAAACCCAUAAGUCUACUCGGCCAAAAUCGGAAUACAGCUCGGAUCACAUCCGACCAGUGUCCCUGGAUCCGACCUCAUAGGUUCCUUCCCUUAAGCACGCGACCCCUUAGGUUCAAGCCGGCUUGGUCGUAGUUCGGAUCACCUCCGAACUACAUAGUUGGUAGCGGCCAUUCCAGUGAUGGCGACCACAAACUGGAUUAUCUCAUAAUCCAUGUUGCAUGGCCAUGCUUAUCCUGGUUGGAUCACACGAGGGGCCUAGAGCAUAUCUCUCCUGAUCAGAGGGGAAAAUCCCAUUUGCUCAACCAUGUCUCGCAGCAUGGGUCUGGACAAGCCCGAAACCUACCUUUGUAACUACCCAGUCAUGGAGUAGCGUUUGGUUGGCCCAAAGCAAGUCUGUCACCAUCCCGAGUACAUGUGCCAGCUCAGGUCUUAGGACAUAGAACAUAUGCUGUACUAGAGACUCACAUAUGCCAUAUCGCCGCAUCUCAUAGUUGGGUCUGUCCGACUCAAACUUAUUUCAACUCGGAUCCGACUACGUCGAAUCUGACCAGAUCCUUCUAAGUCCAUAUUAUCCGGUUAACAUCCAAUGCACCAUGGCUAAUGAGACCAAGCCAUCGAUCGUGUCAUAUGCUAGUCUAGUCUGCUGCGCGUCCACACAUCCCUUUCGACUAGGGACCUUUUAGGACGUUCAUCAUACAAUGCAUAGUCCCACAAACAUUUCACGUACUUGCUGAUACACAUCAUUGAUAAUGUCCAAGGACUAUCUUUAUUCAUAAACACAUAGGAAAUAUCAUCAUACAUGAUUGCCUCUAGGGCAUAUCUCCAACAGUCUCCCACUUGCACUAGAGUCAAUCAAAUAUACAUCGAAUGACCAUAGCUCUAACGUGCCCCUCGUGCUUGGAUUGUGGAAGCGGCUUAGUGAAUGGAUCUGCAACAUUUGCAUCCAUGUGAAUUUUGCAUAACUCAAUAUCACCAUUCUUUAUGAUCUUUCGUAUCAGGUGAUAUUUCCGAUCUAUGUGUCUGGUCUUGUGGUGAUCCCUCGGCUCCUUGGCUUGUGUGAUGGCACCACAAUUAUCACAAUAAAGGUCCAACAGUUUUAACGAGGCUGGGAAAAUACCAAGAUCAUCCAGAAAGUUCCGGAUCCAAACACCUUCCUUUACAGCUUCACAAGCCGAAAUGUACUCGGCUUCUGUGGUAGAGUCGGCCACCGUAUCUUGCUUGGAACUCAUCUAGCUCACUGCUCCUCCGUUCAUGACAUACACGAAUCCAGACAGUGAUCAACAAUCAUGUCUGUCGGUUUAGAAAGUAGCAUCGGCAUAACCCCUUACGACAAGCUUUUCCUCACCUCCAUAAACUAGGAACAUCUCUUUAGUCCUUUUCAGUUACUUCAAAAUAGUCCUUACUGCUGCCCAGUGACUCUCACCUAGGUUGGCCUGGUAUCUGCUUGUUAGGCUUAUUGCAAAAGCAACAUCAGGCCGUGUACAUAUCAUGGCAUACAUGAUGGAUCCAAUUGCCGAGGCAUACGGAAUCCGACUCAUCCUGCUUCGCUCAUCAGAUGUUGAAGGACUCUGAGUCUCGCUUAGCCUUAUACCAUGUGAGACAGGCAAGAACCCUUUCUUGGUCUCACUCAUGUUGAACCGCUUCAACACUUUUAUCUAUGUACGUGCUUUGGCUCAAGCCGAGCAGCCUCCUCGAUCUAUCUCUAUAGAUCUUGAUGCCUAAAAUGUAAACUGCCUCACCAAGGUCCUUCAUUGAAAACUUGCCAUUCAAUGAUUCCUUGACCGAGUUCAGCAUCAAAACAUCAUUUCCGAUCAGUAGUAUGUCAUCCACAUACAAGAUCAAAAACACAAUCGAGAUCCCACUUAACUGCUUGUAUAAACAAGCGUCCUCAUCGCUUUUGCUGAAACCAAGACCAAUGACAACCUCAUCAAAACGAAUGUUCCAACUCCGAGAUGCUUGCCUCAACCCAUAAAUGUAUCUCUUGAGCUUGCAUACUUUACUAGUGCUAGUCGGAUUGACAAAACCCUAGGGCUGUAUCAUAUACACGUCCUCAGUUAAAUUUCCGUGAAGGAAAUCCAUUUUGACAUCCAUCUGCUAUAUCUGGUAAUCGAAAUAUGCAGCUAUAGCUAGUACGAUCCUCACAGACUUCAGCUUCCCUACCAGCGAGUAAGUAUUGUCGUAGUCAAUUCCAUGAACUUGUCCAUAACCUCUAGCGACAAGCCGAGCUUUGUGGAUCUGAACAUUUCCAUCCACAUCGGUUUUCUUCUUAAAGACCCAUUUGCAGCCAAUGGCCUUUACACCAGGCGUCGGAUCAACCAAGUCCCAUACUUGAUUUUCAUCCAUGGACUUUAACUCGGAUCUCAUGGCCCCCAGCCAUGCCUCGGAAUCCGGGCUCGCCAUCGCUUUCGCAUAUGUGGCUGGCUCGUCGCUUUGCAGCCACAAUACAUCAUGCACUCUGCGCAAUCUUUCCGACCUCCAUGGUUCCGGUGCCGCUUCCACUACGGGUUCCUUGACUGACUCCGGUAUGAUCUCAUCACUCGCCGAGCCAUCCCCGAGUGGUACUCGAAUUUCUUCGAGUCGGAGUGUCCUCCCACUGGCCUCCCGACUGAGAAAUGUUGGAAAUAUGCCCUAGAGGCAAUAAUAAAAUGGUUCUUAUUAUAUUUCUUUGUUCAUGAUAAUUGUCUAUUGUUCAUGCUAUAAUUGUGUUAUCCGGAAAUCGUAAUACAUAUGUGAAUACAUAGACCACAACACAUCCCUAGUGAGCCUCUAGUUGACUAGCUCGUUCAUCAAAAGAUGGUCAUGGUUUCCUGACUAUGGACAUUGGAUGUCAUUGAUAACGGGAUCACAUAAUUAGGAGAAUGAUGUGAUGGACAAGACCCAAUCCUAAGCAUAGCUCAAAGAUCGUGUAGUUCAUUUGCUAUAGCUUUUCCGAAUGUCAAGUAUCAUUUCCUUAGACCAUGAGAUUGUGCAACUCCCGGAUACCGUAGGAGUGCCUUGGGUGUGCCAAACGUCACAACGUAACUGGGUGACUAUAAAGGUACACUACAGGUAUCUCCGAAAGUGUCUAUUGGGUUGGCACGAAUCAAGACUGGGAUUUGUCACUCCUUAUGACGGAGAGGUAUCUUUGGGCCCACUCGGUAAUGCAUCAUCAUAAUGAGCUCAAUGUGACCAAGUGGUUGAACACGGGAUCAUGCAUUACGGUACGACUAAAGUGACUUGUCGGUAACGAGAUUGAACGAGGUAUUGGGAUACCGACGAUCGAGUCUCGGGCAAGUAACGUACCGAUUGACAAAGGGAAUAGUAUACGGAUUGAUUGAAUCCUCGACAUCAUGGUUCAUCCGAUGAGAUCAUCGAGGAGCAUGUGGGAGCCAACAUGGGUAUCCAGAUCCCACUGUUGGUUAUUGACCGAAGAGUCGUCUAGGUCAUGUCUGCGUGUCUCCCGAACCCGUAGGGUCUACACACUUAAGGUUCGGUGACGCUAGGGUUGUUGAGAUAUUAGUAUACGGUAACCCGAAAGUUGUUCGGAGUCCCGGAUGAGAUACUGGACAUCACGAGGAGUUCCGGAAUGGUCCGGAGGUGAAGAUUUAUAUAUAGGAAGUCAAGUUUCGGCCAUCAGGAAAGUUUCGGGGGUAAUCGGUAUUGUACAGGGACCACCGAAAGGGUCCCGGGGGUCCACCGGGUGGGGACACCUAUCCCGGGGGGACCCAUGGGCUGAAGUGGGAGGGGAACCAGCCCCUAGUGGGCUGGUGCGCCCCCCUUGGGCCUCCCCUGCGCCUAGGGUUGGAAACCCUAGGGGUGGGGGGCGCCCCACUUGCCUUGGGGGGCAAGCUACCCCCUUGGCCGUCGCCCCCCUAGGGACCCUAUAUAUAGUGGGGGGGAGGGAGGGCAGCUGCACCCUAGCCCCUGGCCUCUCCCUCUCCCUCCCGUGACACUCCUCCCUCUCCUUGUGCUUGGUGAAGCCCUACCGAUAUCACCGUUGCUUCCACCACCACGCCGUCAUGCUGCUGGAUCUUCAUCAACCUCUCCUUUCCCCUUGUUGGAUCAAGUUGGAGGAGAUGUCUUCCCAACCUUACGUGUGUUGAACGCGGAGGUGAUGUCCGUUCGGUGCUAGAUCAUCGGUGAUUUGGAUCACGACGAGUACGACUCCAUCAACCCCGUUCUCUUGAACACUUCCGCGCGCGAUCUACAAUGGUAUGUAGAUGCACUCCUUUCUCCCUCGUUGCUAGAUGACUCCAUAGAUUGAUCUUGGUGAUGCGUAGAAAAUUUUAAAAUUCUGCUACGUUCCCCAACAGUGGCAUCAUGAGCUAGGUCUAUGCGUAGUUUCUAUGCACGAGUAGAACAUAAAGCAGUUGUGGGUGUCGAUAUUGUCAAUUUUCUUGCCGUUACUAGUCUUAUCUUGAUUCGGCGGCAUCGUGGGAUGAAGCGGCUCGGACCGACCUUACACAUACGCUUACGUGAGACUGGUUCCAUCGAUUGACAUGCACUAGUUGCAUAAGGUGGCUGGCGGGUGUCUGUCUCUCCCACUUUAGUCGGAUCGGAUUCGAUGAAAAGGGUCCUUAUGAAGGGUAAAUAGAAAUUGUCAUAUCACGUUGUGGUUUUGGCGUAGGUAAGAAACGUUCUUGCUAGAAACCUAUAGCAGCCACGUAAAAACUUGCAACAACAAUUAGAGGACGUCUAACUUGUUUUUGCAGCAUGUGCCGUGUGAUGUGAUAUGGCCAAAAGGAUGUGAUGAGUGAUAUAUGUGAUGUAUGAGAUUGAUCAUGUUCUUGUAAUAGGAAUCACGAUUUGCAUGUCGAUGAGUAUGACAACUGGCAGGAGCCAUAGGAGUUGUCUUUAUUUAUUUAUGACCUACGUGUCAACAUAAACGUCAUGUAAUUACUUUACUUUAUUGCUAAGGCGUUAGCCAUAGUAGUAGAAGUAAUAGAUGACGAGACAACUUCAAGAAGACACAAUGAUGGAGAUCAUGGUGUCAUGCUGGUGACAACGAUGAUCAUGGAGCCCCAAAGAUGGAGAUCAAAAGAAGAAAAUGAUAUUGGCCAUAUCAUGCCACUAUUUGAUUGCAUGUGCUGUUUAUCAUGUUUUACAUCUUAUUUGCUUAGAACGACGGUAGCUUAAAUAAGAUGAUCCCUCGGAAUAACUUCAAGAAAGUGUUCCCCCUAACUGUGCACCGUUGCGAAGGUUUGUUGUUUCGAAGCACCACGUGAUGAUCGGGUGUGAUAGAUUCUAACGUUCGAAUACAACGGGUGUAAGCCAGAUUUACACACGCAAUACACUUAGGUUGACUUGACGAGCCUAGAAUGUACAAACAUGGCCUCGGAACAUAGAAGACAGAAAGGUCGAGCAUGAGUCGUAUAGAAGAUACGAUCAACAUGAAGAUGUUCACCGAUGUUGACUAGUCUGUCUCACGUGAUGAUCGGACACGGCCUAGUUGACUCGGAUCAUGUUUCACUUAGAUGACCAGAGGGAUGUCUAUCUGAGUGGGAGUUCAUUGAAUAAUUUGAUUAGAUGAACUUAAUUAUCAUGAACUUAGUCUAAAAAAUCUUUACACUAUGUCUUGUAGAUCAAAUGGCCCACGCUAAUGUUGCCCUCAACUUCAACGCGUUCCUAGAGAAAACCAAGCUGAAAGAUGAUGGCAGCAACUAUACGGACUGUGUCCGGAACCUGAGGAUCAUCCUCAUAGCUGCCAAGAAAGAUUAUGUCCUAGAAGCACCGCUAGGUGACACACCCAUCCCAGAGAACCAAGACGUUAUGAACGCUUGGCAGUCACGAGCUGAUGAUUACUCCCUCGUUCAGUGCGGCAUGCUUUACAGCUUAGAACGGGGCUCCAAAAGCGUUUUGAGAGACACGGAGCAUAUGAGAUGUUCGAAGAGCUGAAAAUGGUUUUCCAAGCUCAUGCCCGGGUCGAGAGAUAUGAAGUCUCCGACAAGUUCUUCAACUGUAAGAUGGAGGAAAAUAGUUCUGUUAGUGAGCACAUACUCAAAAUGUCUGGGUUGCAUAACCGCUUGACUCAGCUGGGAGUUAAUCUCCCGGAUGACACGAUCAUUGACAGAAUCCUUCAGUCGCUUCCACCGAGCUACUAGAGCUUUGUGAUGAACUUCAAUAUGCAGGGGAUGGAAAAGACCAUUCUUGAGGUAUAUUCAAUGCUGAAAUCAGCAGAGGUGGAAAUCAAAAAGGAACAUCAAGUGUUGAUGGUGAAUAAAACCACUAAGUUCAAUAAAGGCAAGGGUAAGAAGAACUUCAAGAAGGACGGCAAGGGAGUUGCCGCACCCGGUAAGCAAGCUGCCGGGAAGAAGCCAAAGAAUGGACCCAAGCUCGAGACUGAGUGUUUUUAUUGCAAGGGAAGUGGUCACUUGAAGCGGAACUGCCCCAAAUACUUAGCGGACAAGAAGGCCGACAACACUAAAGGUAUAUGUGAUAUACAUGUAAUUGAUGUGUACCUUACCAGUACUCGUAGUAGCUCCUGGGUAUUUGAUACUGGUGCGGUUGCUCACAUUUGUAACUCAAAGCAGGAGCUGCGGAAUAAGCGGAGACUGGCGAAGGACGAGGUGAUGAUGCACGUCGGGAAUGGUUCCAAGGUCGAUGUGAUCGCUGUCAGCACGCUGCCUCUACAUUUACCUAUGGGAUUAGUUUUAAACCUCAAUAAUUGUUAUUUAGUUACAGCUUUGAGCAAGAACAUUAUAUCAGGAUCUCGUUUAAUUCGAGAUGGCUACUCAUUUAAAUCCGAGAAUAAUGGUUGUUCUAUUUAUAUGAGAGAUAUGUUUUAUGGUCAUGCUCCGUUGGUGAAUGGUUUAUUCUUAAUGAAUCUCAAGUGUAAUGUUACACAUAUUCAUAGUGUGAAUACCAAAACAUGUAAGGUUGAUAAUGAUAGUCCCACAUACUUGUGGCACUGCCGCCUUGGUCACAUAGGUGUCAAACGCAUGAAGAAGCUCCAUGUAGAUGGACUUUCGGAGUCUCUUGAUUACGAAUCAUUUGACACGUGCGAACCAUGCCUCAUGGGUAAAAUGACCAAGAGUCCAUUCUCAGGAACAAUGGAGCGAGCAACCAACUUAUUGGAAAUCAUACAUACUGAUGUGUGCGGUCCAAUGAGUGUUGAGGCUCGUGGUGGCUAUCGUUAUGUUCUCACCCUCACUGAUGACUUGAGUAGAUAUGGGUAUGUCUACUUAAUGAAACACAAGUCUGAGACCUUUGAAAAGUUCAAGGAAUUUCAGAGCGAGGUUGAGAAUCAACAUGAUAGAAAAAUCAAGUUCUUGCGAUCAGAUCAUGGGGGAGAAUACUUGAGUCACGAAUUUGGCACACACUUAAGGAAAUGUGGAAUAGUUUCACAACUCACGCCGCCUGGAACACCUCAGCGUAAUGGUGUGUCCGAACGUCGUAAUUGCACUCUAUUGGAUAUGGUGCGAUCUAUGAUGUCUCUUACCGAUUUAGCGCUGUCAUUUUGGGGCUAUGCUUUAGAGACUGCCGCAUUCACUUUAAAUAGGGCUCCGUCGAAAUCCGUUGAGACGACACCGUAUGAAUUAUGGUUUGGGAAGAAACCUAAGCUGUCGUUUCUAAAAGUUUGGGGAUGCGAUGCUUAUGUCAAGAAACUUCAACCUGAAAAGCUCGAACCCAAAUCGGAAAAUGCGUCUUCAUAGGAUACCCUAAAGAAACUAUUGGGUAUACCUUCUACCUCAGAUCCGAAGGCAAGAUCUUUGUUGCCAAGAAUGGAUCCUUUCUAGAGAAAGAGUUUCUCUCGAAAGAAAUAAGUGGGAGGAAAGUAGAACUUGAUGAAGUAUUACCUCUUGAACCGGUAAGUGGCGCAGCUCAAGAAAAUGUUCCUGAGGUGCCUGCACCGACUAGAGAGGAAGUUAAUGAUGGUGAUCAUGAAACUUCAGAUCAAGUUGCUACUGAACUUCGUAGGUCCACAGGGACACGUUACGCACCAGAGUGGUACAUCAAUCCUGUCUUGGAAAUCAUGUUGUUAGACAACGGUGAACCUUCGAACUAUGAAGAAGCGAUGGCGGGCCCGGAUUCCGACAAAUGGUUGGAAGCCAUGAAAACGAAGUAUGGACUUUGACUGACUUGCCUGAUGAUCGGCGAGCCAUAGAAAAUAAAUGGAUCUUUAAGAAGAAGACAGACGCGGAUGGUAACGUAACCAUCUAUAAAGCUCGGCUUGUCGCUAAGGGUUAUUGACAAGUUCAAGGGGUUGACUACGAUGAGACUUUCUCACCCGUAGCGAAGCUGAAGUCCGUCCGAAUCAUGUUAGCAAUUGCCGCAUUCUAUGAUUAUGAGAUAUGGCAAAUGGACGUCAAAACGGCAUUCCUUAAUGGUUUCCUUAAGGAAGAAUUGUAUAUGAUGCAGCCGGAAGGUUUUGUCGAUCCUAAGAAUGCUGACAAGGUGUGCAAGCUCCAACACUCGAUUUAUGGGCUGGUGCAAGCAUCUCGGAGUUGGAACAUUCAUUUUGAUGAGAUGAUCAAAGUGUUUGGGUUUAUGCAGACUUAUGGAGAAGCCUGUAUUUACAAGAAAGUGAGUGGGAGCUCUGUAGCAUUUCUCAUAUUGUAUGUGGAUGACAUACUGUUGAUGGGAAAUGAUAUAGAAUUCUUGGAAGGCAUAAGGGCCUACUUGAACAAGUGUUUUUCAAUGAAGGAUCUUGGAGAAGCUGCUUAUAUAUUAGGCAUCAAGAUCUAUAGAGAUAGAUCGAGAUGCCUCAUUGGUCUUUCACAGAGUAUGUACCUUGACAAGAUAUUGAAGAAGUUCAAAAUGGAUCAGUCAAAGAAGGGGUUCUUGCCUGUAUUGCAAGGUACGAGAUUGAGCACGUCUCAAUGCCCGGCCACGGCAGAAGAUAGAGAAAUGAUGAGUGUCGUCCCCUAUGCCUCAGCCAUAGGGUCUAUCAUGUAUGCUAUGUUGUGUACCAGACCUGAUGUAAACCUUGCCGUAAGUUUGGUAGGACGGUACCAAAGUAAUCCCGGCAUGGAACACUGGACAACAGUCAAGAAUAUCCUGAAGUACCUGAAAAGGACUAAGGAUAUGUUUCUCGUUUAUGGAGGUGACGAAGAGCUCGUCGUAAAGGGUUAUGUCGAUGCUAGCUUCGACACAGAUCUGGAUGACUCUAAGUCACAAACUGGAUACGUGUAUAUUUUGAAUGGUGGGGCAGUAAGCUGGUGCAGUUGCAAGCAAAGUGUUGUGGCGGGAUCUACAUGUGAAGCGGAGUACAUGGCAGCCUCGGAGGCAGCACAAGAGGCAAUCUGGGUGAAGGAGUUCAUUACCGACCUAGGAGUCAUACCCAAUGUGUCGGGCCCGAUGACUCUCUUCUGUGACAACACUGGAGCUAUUGCCCUUGCCAAGGAGCCCAGGUUUCACAGGAAGACCAGGCAUAUCAAGCGUCGCUUCAACUCCAUUCGUGAAAGUGUUCAAAAUGGAGACAUAGAUAUUUGUAAAGUACAUACAGACCUGAAUGUGGCAGAUCCGUUGACUAAACCUCUUCCUAGAGCAAAACAUGAUCAACACCAGAACUGCAUGGGUGUUCGAUUCAUCACAAUGUAACUAGACUAUUGACUCUAGUACAAGUGGGAGACUGUUGGAAAUAUGCCCUAGAGGCAGUAAUAAAAUGGUUAUUAUUAUAUUUCUUUGUUCAUGACAAUUGUCUAUUAUUCAUGCUAUAAUUGUGUUAUCCGGAAAUCGUAAUACAUGUGUGAAUACAUAGACCACAACACGUCCCUAGUGAGCCUCUAGUUGACUAGCUCGUUGAUCAAAAGAUGGUCAUGGUUUCCUGACUAUGGACAUUGGAUGUCAUUGAUAACGGGAUCACAUCAUUAGGACAAUGAUGUGAUGGACAAGACCCAAUCCUAAUCAUAGCUCAAAGAUCGUGUAGUUCGUUUGCUAUAGCUUUUUCGAAUGUCAAGUAUCAUUUCCUUAUACCAUGAGAUUGUGCAACUCCCGGAUACUAUAGGAGUGCCUUGGGUGUGCCAAACGUCACAACGUAACUGGGUGACUAUAAAGGUACACUACAGGUAUCUCCGAAAGUGUUUGUUGGGUUGGCAUGAAUUGAGACUGGGAUUUGUCACUCCGUAUGACGGAGAGGUAUCUCUGGGCCCACUCGGUAAUGCAUCAUCAUAAUGAGCUCAAUGUGACCAAGUGGUUGAUCACGGGAUCAUGCAUUAUGGUACGAGUAAAGUGACUUGCCGGCAACGAGAUUGAACGAGGUAUUGGGAUACCGACGAUCGAGUCUCGGGCAAGUAACGUACCGAUUGACAAAGGGAAUAGUAUACAGAUUGAUUGAAUCCUCGACAUCGUGGUUCAUCCGAUGAGAUCAUCAAGGAGCAUGUGGGAGCCAACAUGGGUAUCCAGAUCCCGCUGUUGGUUAUUGACCGGAGAGUCGUCCUGGUCAUGUCUGCGUGUCUCCCGAACCCGUAGGGUCUACACACUUAAGGUUCGGUGACGCUAGGGUUGUUGAGAUAUUAGUAUACGGUAACUCGAAAGUUGUUCGGAGUCCCGGAUGAGAUCCCGGACGUCACGAGGAGUUCCGGAAUGGUCCGGAGGUGAAGAUUUAUAUAUAGGAAGUCAAGUUUCGGCCAUCGGGAAAGUUUCGGGGGUAAUCGGUAUUGUACCGGGACCACCGGAAGGGUCCCGGGGGUCCACCGGGUGGGGCCACCUAUCCCGGAGGGCCCCAUGGGCUGAAGUAGGAGGGGAACCAGCCCUUAGUGGGCUGGUGCACCCCCCUUGGGCUUCCCCUGCGCCUAGAGUUGGAAACCCUAGGGGUGGGGGGCGCCCCACUUGCUUUGGGGGGCAAGCCACCCCCUUUCCCCCCCUUGGAGAUUGGAUCUCCUAGGGCCGGCGCCCCCCUAGGGAACCUAUAUAUAGUGGGGGGGGGGGAGGAAGGGCAGCCGCACCCUAGCCCCUGGCCUCUCCCUCUCCCUCCCGUGACACUCCUCCCUCUCCCUGUGCUUGGCGAAGCCCUGCCGAGAUCACCGUUGCUUCCACCACCACGCCGUCGUGCUUCUGGAUCUUCAUCAACCUCUCCUUUCCCCUUGAUGGAUCAAGUUGGAGGAGACGUCUUCCCAACCGUACGUGUGUUGAACGCGGAGGUGCCGUCCGUUCGGCGCUAGGUCAUUAGUGAUUUGGAUCACAACGAGUACGACUCCAUCAACCCCGUUCUCUUGAACUCUUCCGCGCGCGAUCUACAAAGGUAUGUAGAUGCACUCCUUUCUCCCUCGUUGCUAGAUGACUCCAUAGAUUGAUCUUGGUGAUGUGUAGAAAAUUUUAAAAUUCUGCUACGUUCCCCAACAAGAAACUCUUUCUCAAGGAAAACCCCAUUCCGAGCAGCAAACACUUUGUUCUCUUCCCGGUUGUAGAAGUUAUAUCCCAAGGUUUCCCUCAGAUAUCCCACGAAUAUGCAUUUGUCUGACUUGGGUGUAAGCUUUUCUGACAUAAGUCGCUUGAUAAAUGCUUCACAACCCCAAAUCUUUAGAAAAGACAAUCUGGGAGUCUUCCCGGUCCACAUCACAUGUGGUGUCUUAUCUACGGAUUUUGAUGGUACCCUGUUAAGUGUGAAAUCUACAGUUUCUAGAGCGUAUCCCUAGAAUGACAAGGGUAAAUCCGAUUUGCUCAUCAUUGAUCGAACCAUGCCUAACAAGGUACGAUUCCUCCGUUCCGAUACGUCAUUUCUCUGUGGCAUACCCGGAGGUGUGAGCUUAGGUACUAUACCUCGGCUUUUCAGAUUAUCAUAAAAUCCUGGCUCAUGUACUCACCUCCACGAUCAGAUCGUAGAAGUUUUAUAGUCUUGCCAAGCGGAUUCUCAACCUCAUUUUGAAACUCUUUGAACUUUUCAAAAGUUUCUGACUUGUGCCUCAUCAAAUAGAUAUAUCCAUAUCUACUCAAGUCAUCGAUAAAAGUGAUGAAGUACCGAUAGCCACCUCUGGCAGUUGUGCUCAUCGGUCCACACACAUCACUGUGUAUCCGUUCCAAUAGCUGGGACACCCUCUCGUAACUCUUUGUGAAAGGAGACAUAGUCAUCUUGCCGAGCAAGCAUGAUUCACAUGUCUCGAACGACCCAAAGUCAGAUGAAGUUAGGAUCCCAUCAUCAUGGAUCUUCUUCAUGCGUUUUAGACUAAUGUGUCCAAGCCGGCUGAGGGAGUCCUAGAUUAGGGGGUCUUCGGAUAGCCGGACUAUAUCCUUUGGCCAGACUGUUGGACUAUGAAGAUACAAGAUUGAAGACUUCGUCCCGUGUCCGGAUGCGACUCUCCUUGGCGUGGAAGGCAAGCUUGGCAGUACGGAUAUGUAAAUCUCCUCCUUUGUAACCGACUCUAUGUAACCCUAGCCCCCUCCGGUGUCUAUAUAAACCGGAGGGUUUAGUCCGUAGGACAAUAUAUAAUCAUACCAUAGGCUAGCUUCUAGGGUUUGGCCUCUACAAUCUCGUGGUAGAUCAACUCUUGUAAUACUCAUAUCAUCAAGAUCAAUCAAGCAGGACGUAGGGUAUUACCUCCAUCAAGAGGGCCCGAACCUGGGUAAACAUCGUGUCCCCUACCUCAUGUUACCAUCCACCUUAGGCGCAUAGUUCGGGACCCCCUACCCGAGAUCCGCCGGUUUUGACACCGACAUUGGUGCUUUCAUUGAGAGUUCCACUGUGUCGUCAUCAUAAGGAGGGGUGGCUCGUCUCGUUGUCAAGAACAACAUCACCUCUGGGGGAGCUUUGGCUGUAGUCCAAACUCUCCGACUAGGCGGCUUCGUCAUGACCGCCCGCUCAGCCGCUGCCCACAGCCCUGGCUGUAGGCCAAACUCUCUGACUAGGUGGCUUCGUCAUGACCGCCCGCUCGGCCGCUGCACCGACGAUGACUUCUCGGGUCAUAGAAAAUAGCCUCCACAUCGGCUCGAAAUUCAUCAAGCAGAUGGAUCUGAUGGAGCUCUCCUCUUUGAACAAGCUCUUGGAUCGUAUCGCUGCUCUGGGAGUCGCUACGGACUACAAUUGGAUUGGGCUUAAACCCGACCAAAGGGAGAUGAACUCUCCGUCGGUCACCCAUCAGAUAGCGGUGGUGGAGGAGCAAUGCGGUGAUUCUUCCUCUAUCCCGAGGACGAACUAUGUCUGGGUCCCCGAGCUCUCCGAGCCGGAUACCCGUCCACGGGAGGACAUCACCCUAACCCUGAACAUAGAAUCAGGCAUCAUGCCGAACCUGCUGGGCAACAUCCCGGAGCCCGAACUUCCAAGAUCGGAAACUCCCUCGCCCCUGGGUCUCAGAUUGGGUCAAGGUCUGGACUUAAAUCCACCCACCCAACCAGAUAUAAACGAUCUUUCCCUCAUUAGGCAAGAGCCCCAAGAAACAGUACAUCACUAUUGGGUCGGAUUCCUCCUUGUAGUGAACAAGGUCAAGGACUGUCGCGAGGAAGACGCAAUUUCGUUCUUUUGCAACAAUUGCACGGACAAGGGAAUCCUCAACGCCAUAAGUCACAAUGACAUAGCACACUUCGCUUACUGGAAAACCCAAACAAAAUUUUGGGAUAAUUCGGCUCUGACAAAACCCCCAGUCCGAACUAAAAGGGCGCACUCUCAUUAGUCGCCCGACUCAAUUACAAAGAAGCAAAAGCCCACUACAGGGCGUGGAACCGUAUUGGAGGGAUGGCUUAACGGGCCCUGCAAAAUUCAUAGUACAAUGGAUACCAUACCAACACAUAGCCUUAGAGCAUGUUGGGUACUCCGGCAGGUGGCCAAGAGCGGUGAGGAUCUCCUCAUUCAAAACACCGCAGAGCACCAUCCUGUGGAUAACAAUACAUUAUUGAUAGUCUUCGAGACCUUUGCCUCAAAUAAUAGGCGUAAGAGAGCACUCCGCAGCCUUGCCGAAGUCUGCCAUGUGGCAGCAAUAAAUCCAUGGAGCGACACGGCUAUCACCUUCAAUGCCAAUGACGAACCUAAAUUCCGAACAGCCCGAGCACCAGUUGCCUUGGUCCUCAGUCCAAUUGUGGACGGCUUUUGGCUUACUAAAGUGCUCAUGGACGGCGGCAGUGGAUUAAACCUCAUUUAUGAGGAGACUAUUCAAAAAAUGGAAAUAGACAGAAACCGUAUUGAGCAAAGCAGCACGACCUUACGGGGAAUCAUCCCCAGUUGCGAGGCACGUUGCCCUGGGAAAUCACACUAGAUGUGGUAUUCGACACUCCGGAGAAUUACAGGUCUGAAGAAAUUACAUUCCAAGUGGCCCCAUUCAGUAGCGGAUACCACACCCUUCUAGGGCGGGAGGCAUUCACGAUCUUCCAAGCCAUACCCCAUUACGGGUACAUGAAUCUCAAAAUGCCCGGACCCAAUGGAAUCAUCACUCUAGCUAGUGAUCGGGACAUAGAACUCCGCACCGAGAACAAAACAGCCGCACUGGUCCUUGAUGCAUUAUCCGAAGCCCUUGCGAUGGAGGAAUUAACUGUGCUGCGCUCCACAGUGGACAGGGACGACGUGAUACUCGACAAAAGAUCCAAGUCCACCUCUUUUAAACCAGCGAUGAAAUAGUCAAAUUCCAAGUCCAUCCAAUGGACCCCCACAAAGACAACAUCCAUCGGGGCACAGUCAAAACCCGCUAUAGACGCCACACUACGGGAGUUCCUGCGCGAAAAUUGAGACAUAUUCUCCUGGCAUCCUUCAGACAUGCCAAGAAUCCCACGCAGGCUGGCCGAGCAUAGCCUUAACAUUCUAAAAGGGUUCAAGCCGGUCAUGCAGACUCUUCGGCGUUUCUCCGAACCUAAGCGACAAGCCAUGGGAGAGGAGCUAGCCAAGUUACUGGAGGCCGGAUUCAUUAUAGAAAUAAAACAUCCGGACUGGCUAGCAAACCUGGUAUGGUACCAAAGAAGGACAAAUCCUGGCGCCUAUGCGUCGACUUCAAGGACCUCAAUAAGUCUUGCCCAAAGGAUCCCUUCCCCCUCCCUCGCAUCGAUCAAAUUAUCGAUGCCACUGCAAGACACGACUCAUUGUGCUUCCUCGACACAUACUCUGGUUACCACCAUAUUAAGAUGGCGGAGUCUGAUCAAGCCGCAACGACAUUUAUCACUCCAUACGGCCCCUUCUGUUUUAACACAAUGCCCUUCGGGCUCAAAAACGCCGGCGCAACGUAUCAACGCAUGAUUUAGGCAUGUCUGGAAAAGCAGAUGGGCAAAACAGUGGAGGCAUACAUAGAUGAUGUGGUCGUUAAAACCAAACACGUCGACUCCCUAAUAGAUGACUUGAGGCUCAUGUUCGACAAUCUCCAAACAUACGACAUUAAGCUCAAUCCGGAAAAAUGCGUUUUCGGCGUACCCGCCGGAAAGCUCCUGGGCUUCAUCGUCUCCAGUAGAGGAAUUGAAGCAAAUCUAGCUAAAAUCCGAGCUCUGUCGCAGUUGGCUAUCCCAAAUGACCUCAAGCAAAUCCAGAAGUUAACUGGAUGUGUGGCGGCCUUAAGCCGCUUUAUCUCCCGAUUAGGAGAAAACACACUCCCCCUUUAUCGCCUUCUUCAGCGCACCAAACACUUCGAGUGGAUGGAUGCUGCCACGGCCGGAUUGGAAGAAAUAAAAGCCAUCCUGGCCACCAACCCAAUCUUGGCCACGCCAAAUGUCGACGAACCAAUGUUGUUAUAUAUAGCGGCAACUCACCAAGUUGUAAGCGCAAUGCUCGUCACCGAAUGAGAGACGGACCGACAUAAAUUCCCACUUCAGAAGUCGGUAUAUUAUGUAUCCACUGUCCUCACUCCAUGCAAAUCACAGUACCCACAUUAUCAAAAGAUAGCAUACGCGGUAUUCAUGGCAUCCCGGAAAUUACGACACUACUUUCAAGAGUGUUCAAUUGCGGUGGCCUCAGAAGUACCACUCAAUGACAUAAUAAACAACCGCGAUGCCACGGGCCGGAUUGCCAAAUGGGCUAUCGAGCUCCUCCCGUUUGACAUAACAUAUAGACCAUGGCAAGCCAAUAAGUCACAAGUACUGGCCGAUUUCUUCGCCGAGUGGACAGUAGCCGAACUCCCUAAAGAGUACGACGCGUAAUCCAAUUGGAUCAUGAAAUUUGACGACUCUAAAAUGCUGGCUGGACUGGGGGCUGGCGUCGUCCUGACGUCCCCCACCGGAGAUACAGUUCAAUAUGUACUCCAAAUACUAUACACAGACUCCAACAACGCAGCCGAAUAGGAGGCCCUAUUACAUGGUCUCCGGAUGGCAGUUUCCAUGGGCAUUCAACGCCUGGAGGUGCGUGGGAACUCGAACCAUGCAAUAUCCCAAAAAAAUGGAGACUUCAAUGCCAAGGAUCCGAAAAUGGCGGCAUAUCGCAACACCAUCCUCAAAAUGUUAGCACGGUUCGAGGGGCUUGAAUUCCACCAUGUGGCUCGGGAAAACAAUCAGGCGACGGAUAUCCUCGCCCGUAUCGGCGCCAAGCGCGAUCCUGUCCCGCCUAACAUCUUCUUGGAAAGGCUGAUUAAGCCAUCCGUGGUAUGGAAAGGGGACACUGGUAAACAUAGUCUGGACCCGGCCACAACACCAGAUACCGAAUACUCUGACACAAUCGGAGGCUCUGCCAUCGAAAUUACACCUUCAGCCCACGUGAUAAUAGCCGUCAUCGCCCCGUGGACAGAACCAUUCCUGGCCUACCUAACUAGGCAGGAACUACCCGGGGACCAAAACGAGGCACGCUGCAUAGUGCGGCGAUCUAAAGCCUACAAGGUCCACGAGGGAGAGCUUUAUAAGAAAAGCACUACCGGAGUCCUUCAAAGGUGCAUCUCCGAAGAGGAAGGCGGAAGCUUUUGGCAGAAAUCCAUGCUGGACUCGGCGGCCACCACGCCGCAGCCCGGGCCCUUGUAAGCAAGGCCUUCCGUACAUGUUUCUAUUGGCCGACGGCCCGAGCAGAUGCACAUGAUUUGGUCCAACGUUGCAUCGAUUGCCAGCUUUUUGCAAACCAAAGCCAUAUGCCGCCUACCACUCUCCAAACAAUCCCCAUUACUUGGCCCUUUGCGGUCUGGGGGCUUGAUAUGGUCGGACCCCUAAAAGGGGGAACCCAUAAGAAAAAAAUACUUACUGGUCAUGGUGGAUAAAUUCACCAAAUGGAUAGAAGCCAAACCUGUUAAAAUGGGUGAAUCCGGACCGGUGAUAGACUUCAUAUCUGGGGUUGUACACCGUUAUGGCACCCCCCACAGCAUCAUCACUGACAAUGACACGAACUUUGCAGCCGACGAGGUAAAACUUUGGUGCAGAAACAUGGGCAUCAAGCUCGAUUAUGCUUCUGUCUAUCACCCGCAAACUAACAGUCAAGUUGAGCAAGAAAAUGGUCUUAUCAUGAGUGGCAUCAAACCCAGAUUAGUGCGGUCCUUAAAGGAAUCAAACACGCACUAGGUAGAGGAGCUCGACUCCGUACUAUGGGGGCUGCGGACCACGCCGAAUCACACGACCGGAUACACACCGUUUUUAUGGUGUACGGCGUAGAGGCGGUUCUGCCUUGCGACAUAAUUCAUGACUCACCUCGAGUGUGCAUGUACGAAUAAAAAGAGGCCGAACUCGAUCGGCAGGACAGUUUGGACGCCCUGGAGGAGGAGCACGACGUGGCAAAAGCCCAUUCCGCAUUCUAUCAGCAACAGGCUCGAAAGUAUUAAAGCAGAGAAGUACGGGCCAAAACCUAUAACGUUGGCGAACUAGUUCUACGCCUGCCGGAGAAGAAAAAGAACAAGCUCAAGCCCAAAUGGGAAGGUCCCUUCAUUAUUGACCAGGUUCUGAUCGGUGGAGCGUACUGUCUGCGGGAUGCAUCGGACAAUUGACUCGAGCCAAACCCAUGGAACGCAGCCAGACUCCAAAGAUUCUACGCCUAGUGCCGGACUCUAUGUUCGUCUCCUUACCCCCGUCAAUUUUUUUUGCAUAUCCGGUAUCUGUCUUUUCUCUCUUUCUUCUUUUUUCUUCUCCUCAAGGCCUUAAAAGGCUAACUUGUGUCUUGACUACACAAUCUUGAUGCGCUAACCGCGCUCAUUAUACCUGGGGGCUUCUUAUACAGAAGCUUAAUAUAACUAUUUUUCUGGGCUUUAUGCCCCACACAUGUGUUAUUCUUCCACAUGUACCUUUUUUGCCAUUAUAUGCAUCGAUAUGACUUAAGUUUUGGCCAAGCUGGGUUGCCUGGCUCUUGUAUUUAUGCCCUACAUUCCCGUUAAUUCGGCUAGUGCAUAAGGGGAGCACCUCUGCAAUUGUUACUGCUAGGUCAGCCGGAUGUGUACCUUAGACUGGGUGAAGCCGAAAGCUAGCGUUCUUAAGGGAAUAUUCGGUAGGUGAACAAAAGAUGACUUUUAUUUAUUUUGAUACAUGCCCCCAGAUGUUUAUAGCAUGCGUCUCUUUUCGCAGUUCGGACAUGCACAUUAGGGCAUCCGUACCCGGGGAAAGGAACCCUUAACGAAACUAUUCUCCCUGGAAGAUGUUUCUUACUAUCCAUGUAAUAUGACAUAGCUAGUUGGGUACUUGUAUGUUCAAGCACUUAUGACCCCUACGCCUGGUUUCCACGCAUACCCCGGUUUUUACAUAACCAAGCGGGUAUUCAGAUACACUCCGGACUAUCGGGUCCAGAGGUCGAAGCAAAAAGGUCCGCCAUGACAAAUGAUUUACAAUCCGGCUAGGGACAUUAUAUAUGUCACUUGAAGUACACAGUCGCUAAGACUGAUUAAAUUCUUCUUCUACACCAUUCAACAUGCUGUCUAGCCUACAAUCCUGUUGGGAAUACUUUGUGGCUAAUUCUACUUGGUCAUACACCAAACUGACGGGGAUCUCUUUCCCAUCGGGCCGCACAGGUCCGACCUCGGCCAUGUGGUUUGGGUCAGCUUUGGUAUAUCACGUCUUCACCAUGGACUAGGCUUCCCUUGCACCUUGUCGGCAGGCUGAUAUCUUCCAUAAUCGGAAGCGCCGCCGCGCUCCCUUGAGCUUCUCCAUAAGCUUCCCCAUGCCUCCUGGUUGGGACGCGGAUGGCCACAAGGCUUGGGCAAUACCCUGCGUCACCUGCCGAACUUGUUCGUGCAAUUUUGAGAGCUCUGGUAGAAGAUCACCUGCAGAACCGGGAAUCUCCUCCGCGGGAUGACCCGUCAGCAUACCUGCAGACAUAACUCUGUUAGCCAGCUUCUUCGCCGAACUCUUUCAAAAGUUCGUUCAAGUACUUACUGAAAAUGCCGCGUCGAAGCCACUUAUUCUCCUUCACGGAGUCUGCAAGCUGGGCUCGGACAUCUUUCAGUUCCACGCCCAGCUGGAUAUUGGUGUCCUGGAUAUUAUUUUUCUCCUACCUGACCCGUGUAAGCACGUGCUCGCCAGCAUUUAGCUGUCGAUCAGCACGUUCCGCAUCCUCCGGCAUGGCCUCCAGAUUCACUCCGGAGUCAUCUGCAACAUCUAUUGUUAGAUUUGCAUGCAUGCCGCAUACUAUCUGGUACCUAUCAUUCUUUGUAAUGGAAACAAGUGUUACCAGAGGGGGCCUUCUCGGAUUCCUUGAACGCAGCAACUGUGGCCCGUAGCUGGGCUUUGCACUCUUCCACCUCUUGAGACAAUUGUGUAUUCUUCUCUGUAAGAACCUGCACAAAUAAUGAUCCUUAAAUCAGUUGUGUCAACUGUUUCAAGUCUCAGGGGCUACUGAUAUAUAUAAUCGUCAGAUUUUCUUACCCGUAUAUCCUUUACAUACUGGUUUGUGGCUCUGGCUAGACCGUUUUGAGCAGCACGGAUGUACGCGUCUCCUAAGUUGAAGGCAUCGAACGCCUCUUGGGAGAAACAAGUGUCAUGGAGUACGGCCCGGCGACGCCUAUGAUUCAUGGCGCUCUCCACUUCGGAAUUUGUAGCGGAUAGUCUGUCAGCAUCCUCUGUAGGAGGAGCAUCCGGCAUUCGCCCCGUGCUAGCUUCCGCCUCUAUGUCCAGCCUUGGAGCCCGACUGGUGGAGGCGUGAUCGGCAACCUCUCCGGAUAUAGUUCGGCGAGCGUUUUUCCUACUAGGAAACAUGGACGUCAUUAUAUUUUAUGAAAUACGACAACCACGGAGCGAGGUUCUCUAUCAUACCUCUACGCCGGCGUCUCAGUCCUGACCGCCUUCCUUUUUGGCCUACCCGGCUUCGGUGUCCCUUGUUGGCGAGUCACUGCGGGUUCGGAUGGCGUCCCGAGGGCCUUCCCUGUAAAACACCAUAUGUGUACGGUAGGUGAGGUGCAUAAAAGGGGAUCUGAUACGUCUCCGUCGUAUCUACUUUUCCAAACACUUUUGCCCUUGUUUUGGACUCUAACUUGUAUGAUUUGAAUGGAACUAACCCGGACUGACGCUGUUUUCAGCAGAAUUACCAUGAUGUUGUUUUAUGUGCAGAAAAAAAUAUUCUCGGAAUGACCUGAAACUCCACGAGAGGUCUUAGAAAAAAUAAUAAAAAAUCCUCGCCAAAUAUGAAGACCAGGGGGCCCACACCCAACUCAUGAGGGUGGGGGGCGCCCCCCAGGGCGCGCCCCCUACCUCGUGGGCCCCCUGUUGACCCUCCGACGCCAACUCCAACUCUAUAUAUUUGCUUUCGGAGAGAAAAAAUAAGAGAGAAGAAAUCAUCGUGUUUUACGAUACGGAGCCGCCGCCAAGACCUAAAACCUCUCGGGAGGGCUGAUCUGGAGUCCGUUCGGGGCUCCGGAGAGGGGGAUUCAUCGCCGUCGUCAUCAUCAACCAUCCUCCAUCACCAAUUUCAUGAUGCUCACCAUCGUGCGUGAGUAAUUCCAUCGUAGGCUUGCUGGACGGUGAUGGGUUGGAUGAGAUUUAUCAUGUAAUCGAGUUAGUUUUGUUAGGGUUUGAUCCCUAGUAUGCACUAUGUUCUAAGAUUGAUGUUGCUAUGACUUUGCUAUGCUUAAUGCUUGUCACUAGGGCCCGAGUGCCAUGAUUUCAGAUCUGAACCUAUUAUGUUUUCAUGAAUAUAUGUGAGUUCUUGAUCCUAUGUUGCAAGUCUAUAGUCACCUACUAUGUGUUAUGAUCCGGCAACCCCGAAGUGACAAUAAUCGGGACCACUCCCGGUGAUGACCAUAGUUUGAGGAGUUCAUGUAUUCACUAUGUGCUAAUGUUUUGUUCUGGUUCUCUAUUAAAAGGAGGCCUUAAUAUCCCUUAGUUUCCAAUAGGACCCCGCUGUAACGCCCUUGAUGCGGCUAUAUCUCCUACGUGUCGAAGCACGACUUAGAGGCAUAACCGCAUUGAAAGCAAUGUCGCAAGUAAGGUAAUCUUCACAACAACCCAUGUAAAUAGAUAAUAGGGGAAAAGGUACAUAGUUGGCUUACACUCGCCACAUCACACAAAUAUAUGAAUAACAUUACAAUCAUCCAAUACACUCAGGGUCCGACUACGGUACCAAAAUAAAAGAUCAACCCCAACAUUCGACACGGUCCCCGAUCGCCCCAACUGGGCACCACUACUGAUCAUCUCGGAAAGACACAUAGUAACAACGAGAGUCUUCAUCGAACUCCCACUUGAGCUCAAGCGCAUCAUCUGGAACGGUAUCAUCGGUCCCUACAUCUGGUUUGGAAGUAAACUGUGAGUCACGGGGACUCAGCAAUCUCGCACCCUCGCGAUCAAGACUAUUUAAGCUUAUAGGUAAGGCAAGGUAAAUAUGUGGAGCUGCAGCAAGCGACUAGCAUAUAUGGUGGCUAACCUGUUCGCAAAAGAGAGCGAGAAGAGAAGGCAAAACACGAACGAAGAACUAUGAUCAAGAAGUGAUCCUAUAGCAACCUACGUCAAGCAUUACUCCAACACCGUGUUCACUUCCCGGACUCCGCCGAGAAGAGACCAUCACGGUUACACACGCGGUUGAUUCAUUUUAAUUAAGUUAAGUUUCAAGUUAUCUACAACCGGACAUUAACAAAUUCCCGUCUACCCAUAACCGUGGGCACGGCUUUCGAAAGUUCAAAUCCCUGCAGGGGAGUCCCAACUUAGCCCAUCACAAGCUCUCACGGUCAACGAAGGAUAUUCCUUCUAGCGGGAAGACCCGAUCAGACCCGGCAUCCCGGUUACAAGACAUCCUCGACAAUGGUAAAACAAGUCCAGCAAGACCACCCGCUAUGCCGACAAAUCCCGAUAGGAGCUGCACAUAUCUCGUUCUCAGGGCACACCGGAUAAGCUAAGCAUACGGGAGCCAACGUAACCCAAGUUGCCAAGGGACGGCCCCGCAUGGUGCUCUGGGUUGGACCAACACUUAGAGAAGCACUGGCCCGGGGGUUCAAAAUAAAGAUGACCCUUGAGUCCGCGAAACCCAAGGGAAAAAGGCUAGGUGGCGAAUGAUAAAAACCAAGGUCGGGCCUUGCUGGAGGAGUUUUAUUCAAGGCAAACUGUCAAGGGGUUCCCGUUAUAACCCAACCGCGUAAGGAACGCAAAAUCCGGGAACAUAACACCGAUAUGACGGAAACUAGGACGGCAAGAGUGGAACAAAACACUAGGCAAAAGGCCGAGCCUUCCACCCUUUACCAAGUAUAUAGGUGCAUUAAGAUAACAAGAUAAUAUAGUGAUAUCCCAACAAUAAACAAUGUUCCAACAAGGAACGAUCUCCAAUCUUCACCUGCAAGUCGCAACGCUAUAAGAGGGGUUGAGCAAAGCGGUAACAUAGCCAAACAACGGUUUGCUAGGACAUGGUGGGUUAGAGGUUUGACAUGGCAAUUUGGGAGGCUUGAAAGCAAGUGGUAGGCAUCGCAGCAUUGGCAUAGCAAAAGAGCGAGCAUCUAGCAAAAGCAAAGACAGUAGUGAUUUCGAGGGUAUGAUCAUCUUGCCUGCAAAGUUGUCAGAGUUGACUGGAUCCUCGAAAGCAAACUCAACGGGCUCCUUGUUAGCGAACUCGUCUCCCGGCUCUACCCAAGCAACACAAACAAGCAAACGGAACACAAUCAACCACGUGCAAAGCUCAAACAAUAUAAUGCAAAGAUGAUAUGCUAUGCGGGAUGCAUAUGCAAGAUGUGACAAGGAAUGCAUGAACCUGACGUCAACUUGGAAAUCCAAGUGUGCCACUGGAAAGAUGAGAUGAAAUCGCUUGGAAACGAUAUAAAGAACGCCGGAAUCGGAGUUACGGUUUGGAAAUGGCAAGCAAUUCAAAUAUGGUCACGUUCUGCGAUUUACAGCAAGUAGCCAUCUAAAUGCAACAAGAUGAACAUGCUACAGCACCCAAACAUCGCAUCAAAAUAGAUGGCAGGAACCCAUUCGUGAUGCUUAACAAAAGUCUAGCACUGAGCUAUGGCCAACUCAUCCAUUAACAGAUUCAAACAAGCAUGGCAAAAUUGCAUAUGGUAAACAGAUUUCAGACUUAGUGAAAUUAACACUUGUCUGGAAUUUCAGAUCAGAUAGCACUCUUUGGAGCAUGAAAACUAUAUGCUACAAGACCUGAACAUGGCAAAGUAAAGCAUGGCAUGGAGCUACCCAAAGAGCUUAACAAAAGUCCCUUAGUGACCUUGAGCCAAAAGGGAUCAGAAAAUACAUUUGCAAGCAUGUGAACAUCGCAAAAACAUAAACAGAUCACAGAUUUAGUGAAAACUGGAGCAUGCUGAGACAGAUAUCAAGUAGGCAUAUUUACGAGCUCGAUGCACUCACUACAGAGCAAGUCAUGACAAGCUAUGCAUACACCCAUCAAGAAUACACAAAAUGCAAGCUAGACAUGGCAAUAACAAUAGCAUAGCAUGCACGGAUCAACUACAACAUCAUCGGCAAAAUCGCUAACAAGUAGACAAUCUACCCAGAUUCAUGAAAUGAUAAAAGUAGAGCUCGAUUGACUCAAGCUAGGGUGCUCCAUAAUUGCUAACAAAGACAUGGAUGGAUAGAGCACUACAAUAUUAACAAAACAUCCUUACUGAUCAUCCUCAAAAGAGGCACGGAUCACUAGGAAACAACAUCAACAUAUGACCAUAUGAGAUAAACAGAUCAAGGACUUGGUGGAAAUGCUAAGUCCCUGAAAUCAGCAUUACCAAGUGCCUCACUUUGCAAGCUUGUGCUAGUCACCACACACAUCACAAAAAUACAUGGGUUGCACCUCUGUAAAGAUGGCAAAACCCUUAACAAAACAUAUGUAGAGCUCAUGGGCAUAUCAUGCACACAUAAAUCAUGGCAAAAAUGACAAAUAGCUAAAUGGAGCAGCAUAUCUGACAAUUAUCUCAAGUAGCACUCUUCUAACAGAAUUUCGGGCAUCAAUAUGAACUCAAAUGAAAAUGAUGCAAUGGAAUGAAAUGAUGUAUUCUCUGAGACGAACAUUUUGAUAUGCUAUAUGACCAAAACGGAGCUAUGGAUGCGGAGAUGUAGCAUGAUGAACAUGGGUAGAAAAUAUGAACAGGAAAAAGACUUGGACGAAAUCAACCUCCGAAUCAGAUCUGGAUCUAGGGUUCGUCCCCGAGCAUGCGAACCGAGGAUGAACUGAGCUCUCGCCGGAGUUGGACGGGGUGACGCCGGAGAAGAGGAGACGACGGCGACCGGAUCUGGAGAGGGGGGGGAGGUGUCGCCGGAGUCCUCAAGCCCAGAUCCCGCACGGACGGAGGACGCAGCGGCGUCGGCGGCGACCGGGCCGCGGGUUCUCCGGCGGGCGGAGGCGGCACCCAGGCGGCGGCGCGGCAAGGGAGGCGGCAGCCGGCGUGGAGGCGUCGCGAGGAAGGCGCGGCUGCGCGGGCGGAGGAGUGGGGCGGCGUGACCGGAUCUGCGGGGGCCGGCUUCGGCCCGAGCGAGCCGGCGGCGGCGGAUGGUGGCCGGGCCACGUGGCGGUCUGCGGUUGGACGGGCAUGGCGGCGGACGUGUCCGGCUCCGUCCGGACAUGUCCGGCGCGGAGAGGGACUAGCUCUAGGGUUAGAGAAGGAGGGGAUCCGGGAUUUUCGGGGAGAGACCUUUAUAUAGGCAUAGAGGGAGCUAGGAGAGUCCAAAUGAGGUGCGGUUUUCGGCCACGCAAUCGUGAUCGAACGAUCUAGAUGAUGGUGAAGGUUUUGGUGAGUUUUGGGCCAACUUGGAGGGGUGUUGGGCUGCAACACACACGAGGCCUUUUCGGUCCCUCGGUUAAUCGUUGGAGUAUCAAACGAAGUCCAAAUGGUACGAAACUUUACAGGCGGUCUACCGGUAGUAAACCAAGGCCGCUUGGCAAGUCUCGGUCCAAUCCGUAAAUGUUUAAUCCCCACACACGAAAGAAAGGUAGAAAUGACCACCGGAGGAGAACGAAGCGCCGGAAUGCAAAACGGACAACGGGAAAAAAGCUUGAAUGCAUGAGAUGAACACGUAUGCAAAUGCGAUGCACAUGAUGACAUGAUAUGAGAUGCAUGACAACGAUAACAACACAUGGAGACAAAGACCCGAACCCGAGAAAAUAAAAUAACUUAAGGCCGGAAACGGCAAGAGUUGGAAUACAUAUUGGGAAAGUCAUAUCCGGGGUGUUACAACACUCCACCACUACGAAAGGAUCUCGUCCCGAGAUCUAGGACUGAAAGAACGCCGGGUAUUCAGAACGGAGGUGAUCAUCGUGUUCCCAGGUAGCUUCACGGUCGGAAUGGUGUGACCACUUGACUUUGAGGAAUUUGAUUGACUUGUUGCGAGUCUUGCAUUCGGUCUCUUCAAGAAUAGCAACUGGGUGCUCACGAUAGGAGAGAUCUUCUUGGAGCUCAAUGUCCUCGAAGUUGACGGUGCGGUCAGGAGUCUUGAAGCACUUUCGGAGCUGAGAGACAUGGAACACGUCAUGAACAUUUGCAAAGUUUGAAGGAAGCUCGAGUUGAUAGGCGAGAUCGCCUCUCUUGCUGACAAUCUUGAAAGGUCCCACGUAUCUGGGGGCAAGCUUCCCUUUGAUACCGAAGCGACGAGUACCUUUCAUAGGAGAGACGCGGAGGUAAACAUGAUCUCCGAUCUCAAAAGCCAAAUCACGGUGCUUACUAUCAUAGUAGCUCUUCUGACGGGAUUGGGCUGCUUUGAGGUUAUCUCGAAUGACUUUGCACAUUUCCUCUGCCUCUGUGAUUAAGUCAUUUCCGAGAAGCUGACGUUCACCGGUUUCGGACCAGUUGAGAGGGGCACGGCACUUCCUGCCAUACAGAAAUUCAAAUGGGGCCUUGCCCGAACUUGCUUGAAAACUGUUGUUGUAGGAGAAUUCAGCAUAAGGAAGACAAUCCUCCCACUUCAUGCCGAAGGAGAUCACACAAGCCCUGAGCAUAUCUUCAAGGAUCUGAUUGACACGCUCGACUUGACCGCUAGUUUGAGGAUGGAAAGCUGUGCUGAAGCGGAUGUUGGUUCCCAUGGCCUUCUGAAAAGAAUCCCAAAACUUGGAGGUAAAUAUGCUGCCACGGUCUGAAGAGAUCACUUGUGGGAUGCCGUGCAGAGAGACAAUUCGAGAGGUAUAGAGUUCCGCCAAUUGAGCUGCAGUGAUUGACUCUUUGAUAGGCAGAAAGUGAGCCACUUUAGUGAGUUUGUCGAUGACAACGAAUAUAGCAUCAUUGCCACGCUUGGACUUUGGAAACCCAGUCACGAAGUCCAUCUCAAUGUGGUCAAACUUCCAUUCUGGAAUGGCAAGAGGUUGGAGGAGACCCGCUGGCCUUUGGUGUUCUGCCUUCACUCUUCUGCAGACAUCACAUUCAUUCACGAAUUGAGCAAUCUCGCGCUUCAUUCGAGUCCACCAAUAAGCCUGCUUGAGGUCCUGAUACAUCUUCGUGCUCCCAGGGUGGAUGGAGAGGAGAGAAUUGUGAGCCUCGUUCAUGAUCACUUUACGAAGAUCACCUUCAGGUACAACAAUACGAUCCUCGAAGAAGAGAGUAUCCUUGUCAUCAAGGCGGUAGCACUUGUACUUUGGUCGACUCUUGGCAAUCCCAAUCUUCACCUUUUUCACCAUAGCAUCAAGAAGCUGGGCUUGGCGAAUCUAGUCUUCCAAGGUAGGAGAGACUUGAAGGUUGGCGAGGAAACCUUGAGGAACAACUUGCAGAUUAAGUUUGCGGAAAGCUUCACAAAGCUCGGGUUGAUAAGGCUUGAGAAUCAGACUGUUGCAAUAAGCCUUCCUGCUCAAUGCGUCAGCAAUCACAUUGGCCUUGCCUGGAGUAUACUCGAUACUCGGAUUAUACUCUUGAAUCAUUUCGACCCAUCGAGUUUGCCUGAGGUUGAGAUUAGGCUGAGUGAAGAUGUACUUGAGACUCUUGUGAUCAGUGAAAAUGUCCACUUUUCUUCCUAAUAAGAGAUGUCUCCAAGUCAAAAGAGCAUGCACAACUGCUGCCAACUCGAGAUCAUGAGUGGGGUAGUUCUUUUCAUUGGGCUUCAACUGGCGAGAGGUAUAAGCAACAACUUUCUUCUCUUGCAUCAGCACUGCGCCAAGACCUUGGAGAGAGGCAUCACAAAAGACCUCGUACGGCUUGGAUUCAUCAGGCGGAGUCAGAACUGGAGCAGUGAUCAAUUUCUCUUUCAAAGUGUUGAAAGCAAUGUCACACUCCGGAGACCAAACAUACUUGACGUGCUUCUGGAGAAUAUUUGAGAGAGGCUUCGCGAUCUUAGAAAAGUUUUCAACGAAUCUUCGACAAUAGCUUGCGAGACCGAGGAAGCUACAGAGUUGCUUCACGUUCUGAGGAGGUUCCCAAUUCACAAUUGCACACACCUUCUCAGGAUUCACGGCAAUGCCCUUGGUAGAGAUGAUAUGACCAAGAUAAAGAACCUCAUCGAGCCAAAAUUCGCACUUGGAGAACUUGGCGUAGAACUUGUGUUCCCUGAGCUUAUCGAGAACCAAACGCAAGUGCUUGGCAUGAUCUUCCUUGUUCUUCGAGAAAACCAGAAUGUCGUCGAGAUAGACCAAAACUAAGUCAUUGGUGUAGACGUUGAAGAUGAAGUUCAUCAUGCGAGAGAACGUCGGAGGAGCGUUGACGAGGACAAAAGACAUGACAGUGUAUUCAUAUGAACCAUAGCUUGUCCUGAAAGCCAUCUUGGGAAUAUCUUGCUCACGGAUUCGAAUCUGAUGAUAACCCAUACGGAGAUCAAGCUUGGAGAAUACUUGGGCACCUUUGAGUUGUUCGAACAGCUCGUUGAUGUUGGGAAGUGGGUAUUUGUUCUUGAUGGUCUUCUUGUUCAAUGGACGGUAAUCAACACAAAGUCGCUCCGUUCCAUCCUUCUUCUUCACAAAAAGAACACCACAACCCCACGGAGAAGAACUAGGCCGAAUGAGACCCAUUCUCUCUUGAAUAUCGAGUUGCUUCUUCAUCUCCUUCAACUCUUCAGGUCCGAGCUUGUAAGGACGCUUGCACACAGGUUCCGUGCCAGGCUCAAGAUCGAUAACGAAUUCAACUGGCCGGUGCGGAGGCAUUCCUGGAAGCUCUUCUGGAAAGACGUCUUGAUAUUCGCAAACGAUUGGAAUUUGCGAGAUAACAUCCAGUUCACCCUUCUCAUUGAGAGAAAACAGACGGAUGGUAUCAUCACGAGCGGCAAAGACAAUUACAUCCUCAGACGAAUGAGUCAAUUGAAUCUGCCUGGCUGCACAGUCAAGAUAUGCCUUGUUCUUAGAAAGCCAAUCCAUUCCGAGAGUAAGAUCAAUAUCCGAGUUACCAAGAACUGCCGGAGAAGAGAGAAACUUGUAAUCGCCCAACGUGAUAGAGACAUCCGGGGCGCAAUUGUUAGAAGUCAUUUGCUUGCCCGGAGACACAAUCUUCAACAGAACAGGAAUCCUUUCGGUCACAAAAUCAUGAUUGCCAACAAAUGGUGUUGAAAUAAAAGAAAGCGAUGCACCAGUGUCAAAAAGAACUUUUGCAGGAACAUUGUUAACAGGAAGGUUACCCAUAAUCACAUCUGGCGAGUCCUCUGCCUGAGCUGCAUUCAGAAAAUUGACCUUGGCAUGCUUGGGGUUAUGCUUGACCACAGUUGUACUUGCCGAUCUGACAGGAGGAGGAGGAAGACGCCUCUGGUUGAAACACUUGUUGGCAUAGUGACCCUUCUGUUGGCACUUGUUACACAUGACCUCUGAAAGCGGAUGGUGAUACGGAGCACUCGAUCUUGGAGCUUGAGACGAAGUCUUGUUCUGAAAUCCAGGGUUGUGUGGGUGGGAAGAUCCACUGCCACCUUUGCUCUUCUGCUGAUACGGCUGACGGAACAGAGGAGGAGGAAGCCAAUACUUCUGCUGCUUGGCCACUUGAGUAGAGGAAGACGGAGUAGUGUCUCUGACUCGCUUCUUGGAAGCAUCACACCUCAGUUGAGCGGCCUCUUGCUUCAAUGCCAUGUUGUAGAACUCAUCAUACCUCAAGGGCUCAAAGAGAACAAGAGCUAGCUGAAUUUCUUCUCUGAGACCACCCCUGAACUGGUAUAUCAUGCUCUUCUCAUCAGGCACGUCCUGCUUAGCAAAGCGGGCGAGCUUCUGAAACAACUUGUUGUAGUCAUAGACAGACAAAGAGCCUUGCUUCAGGUUGCGGAAUUCCUCACGCUUGCUUUCAACCAUGCUCAGAGGGAUAUGAUGAGCUUUGAAGUCUUGACGGAAUUCGUCCCAAGUGAUCACACGUCCACCUCUGGAGUCCUUGUACUGCUGGAACCACUCUGCGGCUCGGUCUUUGAGUUGGAAGGAAGCAAACUUGACGAAGUCCUCAGGCCUGACGUUACUGCACUCGAAAUGCUUGCAUAGAUCCAUGAGCCAAUCGUCAGCAUUAGUUGCCUCAACGCAAUUGUUGAAAGUUUUUGGCCCGUUAGCAAGGAACUGGUUGAGUGUAGCAAAGUGAUUCUGAUUGUUGCCUUGGUUCCCUUGGUUCCCUUGAUUGCGCUCUUGAAGAAUUUGCAUGAUCAACUGUGUGUUUGCAUUGGUUGCGGCCAUCACAGCUUGCCAUGCCUCCGGAGGAGGUGGAGGUGGUGGCGGAUCUUGAUUCUGAUUCUGAUUGGUGCUCUUAGCGGGAGCCAUCCUGAAGAGGUUGACCACCAUUAGCACAUAGACAGAUAACAUGAAGCUUAAUCCAACGGAAUGAAAAUUGCAACAUAAAGUCUUCACAUCUGAACAAAAUGAACGAAUGCAUUCCUCUUGAAAUGGUCACAUAUCCAUAAAUUGAGAAGCCACUUAGAAUUUAGGUAGAGAAAUAAAUCAACAAGGUACGGAUCAAGAACGAAUACUCGGUAAGAAAUCCCAAUCUCAACCCAAAUAUCCAUGGAAGAAGAACUAGAGCUACAAGAAUUCCCACCUAUGAAACUCCUGAACCUUUCCGGUUAUGCAAUCAGGUGUUGGGGAUACAGGGGAAGCAUAAUAUCUCACCCAAAUCUAGCAAAUCCUACAUCCAGCUGUAUCCAUCCUUCAACACAUAACCAAGAAAAACUUCGGAAACCAUCUACCUCAACCUUCGAAAAGCAUCCGUUAUACAAGUUAUGGCGAUACUCCCGAACUCCCGCCCCAGUACUGGGUGGCGUCGAGGUUAUCUCACCAACGAACUGCAUAAAAGAGAUUUUUGAUGUCCGCGUACUAAACUCAGGUAUUCCAGAACUGCAACGAUAAAAUUAUGACGACAACACCUCAGAGGUCAACUCCCCGGGACACUUCCACAAAACCCCAGACAGGAGGCACCAAGACAAUGUUCUCGUCACAAAACCAUCGGAACGAUUCCAAGAUACCCGCGUGGUCCUAAAUUUUUUUAGUGAAAUUUGAGAAGAGAAGAGUCAAAACUCUAUGUCAGGAUGCCAUACCAGAGCGAUGAGGAGACUGGGAAGUAAAAAGAAUUCCUAAACUCUUUGAUAUAUAAUUCCUAAAUGACUCAAAACAUUUUUCUAGACACAACUCGGCCACUAAAAACGAUCAAGCAAUGGGGCUCCUAAGGUCGGGGAAGGCUCUAAUACCAACUUGUAACGCCCUCGAUGCGGCUAUAUCUCCCACGUGUGGAGGCACGACUUAGAGGCAUAACCGCAUUGAAAGCAAUGUCGCAAGUUAGGCAAUCAUCACAACAUCCCAUGUAAUAUAAAUAAUAAAGGGGAGAAACAUAGUUGGCUUACACUCGCCACGUCACACAAAGUACAUAAAUAGCAUUACAACAUUCAAACACUCAUGGCCCGACUACGGUACCAAAAUAAAAGAUAACCCAACAUGCGACACGGUCCCGAUCACCCCCAACUGGGCACCACUACUGAUCAUCAGGGAAAGACACGUAGUAUCGUUGAGAGUCCUCGUAGAACUCCCACUUGAGCUCAAGUGCGUCACCUGGAGCGGAAUCAUCAGGCCCUGCAUCUGGUUUGGAAGUAAUCUGUGAGCCACAGGGACUCAGCAAUCUCGCACCCUCGCAAUCAAGACUAUUUAAGCUUAUAGGUAAGGCAAGGAAAAUAUAUGUGGAGCUGCAGCAAGCGACUAGCAUAUAUGGUGGCUAUCCUAUUCUCAAAAGAGGGCGAGAAGAGGAGAUAAAGCGCGAGCGAGAAACUAGAGGACAACCUGCGCAAACAUUACUCCAACACCAUGUUCACUUCCCGGACUCCGCCGAGAAGAGACCAUCAUGGUAACUCACACUGUUGAUUCAUUUUAAUUAAGUUUAGGUUCAAGUUAUCUACAACCGGACAUUAACAAAUUCCCAUCUGCCCAUAACCGCGGGCACGGCUUUCGAAAGUUCAAAUCCUUGUAGGGGAGUCCCAACUUAACCCAUGACAAGCUCUCACGGUCAACGAAGGAAUAGACCUCCUCCUGAGACAUUCCGAUCAGACUCGGUAUCCCGGUUCAUCAAAACACUUCGACAGGUUAAAACAAAUCCAGCAACACCGCCUGAAUGUGCCGACAAAUCCCGAUAGGAGCUGCACAUAUCUCGUUCUCAAGGCACACUCAGAUGAACACUACGUACAACUAAAACCAAGCCUCGAGUUGCCCCGAGGUGGCGCUGCAAGUGUCUCUAUUUGGACCAACACUCAGAGGAGCACUGGCCCGGGGGGGUUUAAAUAAGAUGACCCUCGGGCUCCGGAAACCCAAGGGAAAAGAGGCUAGGUGGCAAAUGGUAAAACCAAGGUUGGGCAUUGCUGGAAAAGCUUUAAUCAAGGCGAACUAUCAAGGGGUUCCCAUUAUAACCCAACCGCGUAAGGAACGCAAAAUCCGGGAACAUAACACCGAUAUGACGGAAACUAGGGCAGCAAGAGUGGAACAAAACACUAGGCGAGAGGCCGAUCCUUCCACCCUUUACCAAGUAUAUAGAUGCAUUAAGAUAACAUGGCAAUAUAAUGAUAUCCCAACAAGUAAAUAAUGUUCCAAACAAGGAACGGUCUCCAAUCUUCACCUGCAACUAGCAACGCUAUAAGAGGGCUGAGCAAAGUGGUAACAUAGCCAAACAACGGUUUUCUAGGACAUGGUGGGUUAGAGGUUUGACAUGGCAAUUUAGGAGGCUUGAAAGCAAGUGGUAGGCAUCGUAUCAUUGGCAUAGCAAAAGAGCGAGCAUCUAGCAAAAGCAAAGAUAGUAGUGAUUUCGAGGGUAUGAUCAUCUUGCCUGCAAAGUUGUCAGAGUUGACUGGAUCCUCGAAAGCAAACUCAACGUGCUCCUCGUUAGUGAACUCGUCUCCCGGCUCUACCCAAACAACACAAACAAGCAAACGGAACACAAUCAACCACAUGCAAAGCUCAAACAAUAUGAUGCAAAGAUGAUAUGCUAUGCGGGAUGCGAUGCGGGAUGCAUAUGCAAGAUGUGACAAGGAAUGCAUGAACCUGGCCUCAACUUGGAAAUCCAAGUGUGCCACUGGAAAUAUGAGAUGAAAUCGCUUGAAAACGAUAUAAAGAAUGUCAGAAUCGGAGUUAUGGUUUGGAAAUGGCAAGCAAUUCAAAUAUGGCCACGUUCUGCGAUUUACAGCAAGUAGUCAUCUAAAUGAAACAAGAUGAACAUGCUAUAGCACCCAAACAUGGCAUCAAAAUACAUGGCAGGAACCCAUUCAUGAUGCUUAACAAAAGUCUAGCACUGAGCUACGGCCAACCCAUCCAUUAACAGGUUCAAACAAGCAUGGCAAAAUUGCAUAUGGUAAACAGAUUUCAGACUUAGUGAAAUUAACACUUGUCUGGAAUUUCAUAUCAGAUAGCACUCUUUGGAGCAUGAAAACUAUAUGCUACAGGACCUGAACAUGGCAAAAUAAAGCAUGGCAUGGAGCUACUCAAAGAGCUUAACAAAAGUCCCUUAGUGACCUUGAGCCAAAAGGGAUCAGAAAAUAAAUUUGCAAGCAUGUGAACAUGGCAAAAACAUAAACAGAUCACAGAUUUAGUGAAAACUGGAGCAUGCUGAGACAGAUAUCAAGUAGGCAUGUUUACGAGCUCGAUGCACUCACUACAGAACAAGUCAUGACAAGAUAAGCAUACACACAUCAAGAAUACACAAAAUUCAAGCUAGAAAUGGAAAUAAAAAUAGCAUAACAUGCACGAAUCAACUACAACAUCAUCGGCAAAAUCGCUAACAAGUAGACAAUCUGCCCAGAUUCACGAAAUGACAAAAGUAGAGCUUGAUUGACUCAAGCUAGGAUGCUCCAUAAUUGCAAACAAAGACAUGGAUGGCUAGAGCACUGCAAUAUUAACAAAACAUCCUUACUGAUCAUCCUCAAAAGAGGCACGGAUCACUAGGAAACAACAUGAACAUAUGGCCAUAUGAGAUAAACAGAUCAAGGACUUGGUGGAAAUGCUAAGUCCCUGAAAUCAGCAUUAACAAGUGCCUCACUUUGCAAGCUUGUGCUAGUCACCACACACAUCACAAAAAUACAUGGGUUGCACCUCUGGAAAGAUGGCAAAACCCUUAACAAAACAUAUGUAGAGCUCAUGGGCAUAUCAUGCACACAUAAAUCAUGGCAAAAAUGACAAAUAGCUAAAUGUAGCAGCAGAUCUGACAAUUAUCUCAAGUAGCACUCUUCUAACAGCAUUUCGGGCAUCAAGAUGAACUCAAAUGAAAAUGAUGCAAUGGAAUGAAAUGAUGUACUCUCUGAGGCGAACAUUUUGAUAUGCUAUAUGACCAAAAUGGAGCUACGGAUGCGGAGAUAUAGCAUGAUCAACAUGGGUAGAAAAUAUGAACAGGAAAAAGACUUAGACGAAAUCAACCUCCGAAUCAGAUCUGGAUCUAGGGUUCGUCCCCGACCAUGCGAACCGAGGACGAACCGAGCUCUCGCCGGAGUUGGACGUGGUGACGCCGGAGAAGACGAGACGACGGCGACCGGAUCUGGAGAGGGGGAGGAGGUGUCGCCGGAGUCCUCAGGCGUGGAUCCCGCGCGGACGGAGGACGCAGCGGCGUNNNNNNNNNNNNNNNNNNNNNNNNNNNNNNNNNNNNNNNNNNNNNNNNNNNNNNNNNNNNNNNNNNNNNNNNNNNNNNNNNNNNNNNNNNNNNNNNNNNNNNNNNNNNNNNNNNNNNNNNNNNNNNNNNNNNNNNNNNNNNNNNNNNNNNNNNNNNNNNNNNNNNNNNNNNNNNNNNNNNNNNNNNNNNNNNNNNNNNNNNNNNNNNNNNNNNNNNNNNNNNNNNNNNNNNNNNNNNNNNNNNNNNNNNNNNNNNNNNNNNNNNNNNNCGUGGAGGCGUGGCGAGGGAGGCGCGGCUGCGCGGGCGGAGGAGCGGGGCGGCGGCGACCGGAUCUGCGGGGGCCGGCUUCGGGCCCGAGCGGGCCGACCAUGUGGCGGUGGCCGGGCCACGUGGCGGUCUGUGGUUGGAUGGGCGCGGCGGCGGACGCGUCCGGCUCCGUCCGAACGUGUCCGGCGCGGAGAGGGACUAGGUCUAGGGUUAGAGAAGGAGGGGAUCCGGGAUUUUCGGGGAGAGACCUUUAUAUAGGCAUAGAGGGAGCUAGGAGAGUCCAAAUGAGGUGCGGUUUUCGGCCACGCAAUCAUGAUCGAACGCUCUAGAUGAUGGAGAAGGUUUUGGUGAGUUUUGGGCUAACUUGGAGGGGUGUUGGGCUGCAACACACACGAGGCCUUUUUGGUCCCUCGGUUAACCGUUGGAGUAUCAAACAAAGUCCAAAUGGUACGAAACUUGACAGGCGGUCUACCGGUAGUAAACCAAGGCCGCUUGGCAAGUCUCGGUCCAAUCUGGAAAUGUUUAAUCCCCACACACGAAAGAAAGGUAGAAAUGACCACCGGAGGAGAACGAAGCGCCGGAAUGCAAAACGGACAACGGGGAAAAAGCUCGAAUGCAUGAGAUGAACACGUAUGCAAAUGCGAUGCACAUGAUGACAUUAUAUGAGAUGCAUGACAAUGAUAACAACACAUGGAGACAAAGACCCGAACCCGAGAAAAUAAAAUAACUUAAGGCCGGAAAUAGCAAGAGUUGGAAUACAUAUUGGGAAAGUCAUAUCCGGGGUGUUACACAUGUGAACAUGGCAAAAACAUAAUCAGAUUACAGACUUAGUGAAAAACUGGAGCAUGCAAAUCAGUUAACGAGUAGGCAUGUUCACGAGCUCGAUCCACUCAAUACAGAGCAUGGCAUGAUAAACUAAGCAUACACCCAUCAAUAGUACAUAUCAUAGGAGCUAGACAUGGCAAGAACAACAACAUAGCAUGCACGGAUCAAUAGCAACAUCCUCGGCAAAAUCGCUAAUAAGUCAACAAUCUGCCAGGAUUCACGACAUAGAAAAAGUAGAGCUCGAUUGACUCAAGCUAGGGUGCUCCAUAAAUGCAACCAAAGACAUGGAUCGGUAAAGCACCACAAUGUUAACAAAACAUCCUUACUGAUCAUCCUCAAAAGGGGCACGGAUCACUAGGAAACAACAUGAACAUAUGGCAUAAUGACAAAAUCAGAACAAGGACUUAGUGAAUUUCUAAGUCCCUGAAAUCAGCAUUACCGAUUGCACUACUUUGCAAGCUGGUGCUAGUCACCACACAUAUCACAAAAAUACAUGGUAAGCACCUCUGUAAAGCAUAUAACAAAACUCAUGUAGAGCUAAGGAGCAUAUCAUGCACACAUUAAUCAUGGCAAAAAUGACAAAUAUCUAUUUGAUGAAACAGAUCUGACAAUUAUAUCACAUAGCCCUCUUCCAACAGCAUUUCAGACAUCAAGAUGAGCUCAAAUGAAAAUGCUGCAAUGAGAUGAAAUGAUGUACUCGUCGAGGCGAACAUUUUGAUAUGCUACACACGCAAAUCGGAGCUACGGAUGAGGAGUUACGGCAUGCCAAAGAUUGCAAAAUAAAUCUAAGAGAGGGGGAGAAAGUCAACCCAGAUCUAGGGUUUACUGUAGCGGGUACUGUAGCAGCGGCGGGAUCUCGAGGUCUCCGGCGAGGUUCCUUGCUCCGGUGAGGUGGCAAGGGCGCGGGGACGACCGAAGGAGGCCGGAUCAGGACCGGGACGCGCGGCGGCGAGGUCGGGGAGGCCGGGCAGCGAGGUAGGCGCCGGCGAGGUGGUGAGGGCGAGGCGGCCGGCGAGUGCUCCGGCGAGGUCGCAGUGGCCUGCGGCGGCGGGCGACGGCCGGACGGGAGGAGGAAUACGGGGCGCGGGCGGCGCGAGGAGGAGAUGGGCGGCGCGAGCNNNNNNNNNNCCGGCGGUUGCCACAUGGCGGCUGCUCACUGGAUCAGGGCGGUGUUCGGCGGCGGCGCGAGGAAUUUUAGGGUUAGGGAAAGAAGAGACCCGGGAUUUGGAAUGAGGGGUCUAUAUAUAGAGGUAGGAGGAGCUAGGAGACUCCAAAUGAGGUGCGGUUUUCGGCCACGCGAUCGUGAUCGAACGCUGUAGAUGAUGGAAGGGUCUUUGUUGGUUUUUGGGCCAAAUUGGAAGGAUGAUGGGCUGCAACACAAACAAGUCCUUCUUGGUCCCUCGGUUAACCGUUGGAGUAUCAAAUGAAGUCCAAAUGGCACGAAACUUGACAAGCGGUCUACCGGUAGUAAACCAAGGCCGCUUGGCAAGUCUCGGUCCAAUACGGAAAUGUUUAACCCCCACAAAUGAGAAGAGGUAGAAAGGGGCACCGGAGGAGAUAGAAGCGCCGGCAUGCAAAACGGACAACGGGGAAAAUGCUCGGAUGCAUGAGACGAACACGUAUGCAAAUGCAAUGCACAUGAUGACAUGAUAUGAGAUGCAUGACAAAGACAACAACACACGAAGACAAAAACCCGAACCCGAGGAAAAUAAAAUAACUUAGUGCCGGAAACGGCAAGAGUUGGGAUACAUAUAAGGUAAAUUAAAUCCGGGGUGUUACACCCGCUGCCACGGGAGGGUAGGACAAAAGAUGUCAAGCAAGUCCUUUUCCAUAAGCACGUAUGACUAUAUACGGAAUACAUGCCUACAUUACAUUGAUGAAUUGGAGCUAGUUCUGUGUCACCCUAUGUUAUGACUGUUACAUGAUGAACCGCAUCCGCAUAAUUAUCCAUCACUGAUCCGGUGUCUACGAGUUUUCCAUAUACUGGUUUACGCUUAUUUACUUUUCCGUUGCUACUGUUACAAUCACUACAAAAUAUCAAAAACAUUACUUUUGCUGUCUUUACUUUUGUUGCUGCUACCACCACUAUCAUAUUACUUUGCUACUAAACACUUUGCUGCAGAUACUAAGUUUCCAGGUGUGGUUGAAUUGACAACUCAGCUGCUAAUACUUGAGAAUAUUCUUUGGCUCCCCUUGUGUCGAAUCAAUAAAUUUGGGUUGAAUACUUUACCCUCGAAAGCUGUUGCGAUCCCAUAUACUUGUGGGUUAUCAAGACCUUUUUUCUGGCGCCGUUGCCGGGGAGCAUAGCUCUAUUCUUUGAGUCACUUGGGAUUUAUAUCUGCUGGACACUAUGAAGAACUUGAGAGAUCCAAAAACCAAGAUCUAUCCCUCAACUACGAGGGGAGGUAAGGAACUACCAUCUAGCUCUGCACUUGAUUCACCUUCUGUUAUGAGUAAGUUUGCGACACCUACACCUGCUUCUGCUAUUCGUUCUGAUAUGUCGCAUGUUAUUGAUGAUGCCACUUCUGUUAUGCAUGAUACUUAUGAUGAAACUGCUUCUAUGCCUGAUACUACUGUGCCCCUUAGCGAAUUUCUUGAUGAACAAAUUGCUAGGGCUAGAGAAAGAGAAAUCAUUGAAUCUGAAUACGAUGAUGAUAGUGAUGAUGAAAACAUGCAUGUUAUUCCUAAAGGUUAUCUUUUUGAUAGGGAUGCUUCUUUAGCUAUUUUAGCUUGCAGAGAUAGAUAUGAGCUUAAGAGGUUAUUAAUUAAAUGGAACAAAGAAUCACUUAGAGAUAAAAUGAAACCCGACCCUGCUUUUGCUACUUCACCUAUAUGUGUUCCUGAUAAGGAUUAUGAAUUCUCUGUUGAUCCUGAUAUAAUUACUUUGGUUGAAUCUGAUCCGUUUUAUGGCUAUGAAUUUGAAACUGUUGUGGCACAUCUUACUAAGUUAAAUGAUAUAGCUGCCCUGUUCACUAAUAAUGAGAGAUCACGUUACCUCUAUUUACUCAAAAUAUUUCCAUUCUCAUUAAAGGGCGAUGCUAAGAUAUGGUUUAAUUCUCUUGAACCUGGUUGUGUGCGUAGUCCCCAGGAUAUGAUUUAUUACUUCUCUGCUAAAUAUUUCCCUGCUCAUAAGAAACAAGCUGCUUUGAGGGAAAUAUACAACUUUGUGCAAAUUAAAGAAGAGAGUCUCCCACAAGCUUGGGGGAGGCUUCUCAAGUUACUUAAUGCUUUGCCUGAUCAUCCUCUUAAGAAACCUAAAAUACUUGAUAUCUUUUAUAAUGGACUAAGCGAUGCUUCCAGAGAUUACUUGGAUAGUGUGCUGGUUCUCUUUUCGGGGAAAGAACACCGGAUGAAGCUGAAAUUCUAUUGAAUAAUAUGUUGACAAAUGAAAAUAAUUGGGCACCUCCUGAGCCAGCUCCUGAGCCAUCUCCUACUCCAAUUACUGAGCCUAUUCAUAAACCAACUCCGAGGAAGAGAGGUAUUCUAUUUCUCAGUCCCGAAGAUAUGCAAGAGGCAAAGAAAUCUAUGAAAGAAAAAGGUAUUAAAGCCGAAGAUGUUAAGAAUUUACCUCCCAUUGAAGAAAUACAUGGUCUUAAUAUACCGCAUGUUGAAGAAACGUAUGAUCUCAAUUAUUUAUUUACUAAAGAACCUCCUGAUCCCGAUACCCCGACACAGGUAGUAAAGGUAAAUUCUCUCUAUAGAUAUGAUAAAGCUGAAGUCCCUCCUACUAAAAUUGCUAGUCAGUGCUUGGAUGAGUUUGAUAACUUUAUGUUUAAGCAUGAUGACUUCAAUGCUUAUUUUGGUAGACAAUUAAAAGAAAAUGCUUAUAUGAUUAGAUGCUUGGGUGAAUAUAUGGCUGAUAUUAAAGGUGAACUGAAACUUGUUAGCAAACAUGCUUCUAUGGUUACCACUCAAGUAUAACAAGUACUUAAGGCUCAAAAAGAAGUGCUUGAUGAAAUGAAUAGUAAGAAAAAUGAUUAUGCUUUUAGAGUGGAUACGAGAACUAGUAGAAUGACUCAGGAACCUUUGUAUCCUGAAGGCCACCCUAAGAGAAUCGAGCAAGAUUCUCAAAGAAAUAAUAUUGAUGUUCCUAGUUAUUCUAAAAAGAAGAAGAAGAAAAAUGAUAGAACUGUGCAAACUUCUAGUGAACCUAUUGUUGAACCACCCGAUAAUCCAAAUGAUAUAUCUAUGUCUGAUGCUGAAACACAAUCUGGUAAUGAACAUGAACCUAGUAAAAAUAUUAAUGAUGAUGUUCAUGAUGAUGCUCAACCUAGUAAUGACAAUGAUGUAGAAAUUGAACCUGCUGUUGAUCUUGAUAACCAACAAUCAAAGAAUCAACGUUAUGAUAAAAGAGACUUUGUUGCUAGGAAACAUGGUAAAGAAAGGGAACCUUGGGUUCAGAAACCCAUGCCUUUUCCUCUGAAACCAUCCAAGAAAAAGGAUGAUGAGGAUUUUGAGCGCUUUGCUAAAAUGAUUAGGACUAUCUUUUUGCGUAUGAGAUUAACUGAUGUGCUCAAAACAAAUCCUUAUGCUAAAUAUAUGAAAGAUAUUAUUACUAAUAAAAGAAAGAUACCGGAAGCUGAGAUUUCCACCAUGCUUGCUAAUUAUACUUUUAAGGGUGGAAUACCAAAGAAACUUGGAGACCCUGGAGUACCUACUAUACCUUGCUCCAUCAAAAGAAAUUAUAUUAAAACUGCUUUAUGUCAUCUUGGAGCCGGUGUUAGUGUUAUGCCUCUCUCUUUAUAUCGUAGACUUGACUUGAAUAAACUGACACCUACCGAAAUAUCUUUGCAAAUGGCUGAUAAAUCAACUGCUAUACCUAUCGGUAUCUGUGAGGAUGUGCAUGUUGUGGUUGAAAACGUUACUAUUUUAACGGACUUUGUUAUUCUUGAUAUUCCCGAGGAUGAUAGUAUGUCUAUUAUUCUUGGAAGACCUUUUCUUAAUACUGCAGGGGCUGUUAUUGAUUGCAACAAAGGCAAUGUUACUUUUCAUGUUAAUGGUAAUGAGCAUACGGUACACUUUUCGAGGAAACAACCUCAAGUUCAUAGUAUCAACUCUAUUGGGAAAAUUCCAUCGAUUAUAUUUGGAGGUUUUGAAUUUCCUCUCCCUACUGUCAAGAAGAAAUAUGAUAUUCUUAUUAUAGGGGAUGUGCAUAUCCCCGUUGAGGUAACUUAGUGUUAUUCGAAAUUUCUCUGGUUUCAUGAUUAUCGGAAUGAGUUUGUUAACAAGACUUGAUCAACCUUGUUAGUGGAUUCUUUUUGAUGAGCAUGAUAUGGAUGAAACUAGAAGCACAAACUUCUGUACCCCCUUUAUAUUUUCUGUUAUUUAUAUUAAAUAAAGUAAAAUAGUAUUUUUCUGUCUGUUUCCUGACUUAUCCGUGCAAUAUAAAAAUAUCACGAAAAUAAAGUCCUCAAAAUGCCAUGCCAAUUUAAUAUGAUUUUUUCGGGAAUAUUUGAGGAUUUACUAUGCAAAAAUUACCGCGGGAGGAGCUGACGCCUGGCCACGAGGGUGGUGGGCGCCCCCCCUAUAGGGUGCGCCCCCUACCUCGUGGGCCCAUGGUGGCCCUCCUCCACUUAUCACAGCACCCAUCGUCUUCCUCUGUCUCAAACAAACCCGAAAAACCAACUCAAGCAUGAGUUCCAGCCACUUUUGCUGUGAUUUUCGAUCUCCUUGCUCAAAGCACCUCUCGCAAAACUGCUUGGGGAGAUUGUUCCUUGGUAUGUGACUCCUCCAUUGGUCCAAUUAGUUUUUGUUCUAGUGCCUUAUUCUUUGCAAAUUUGUGCUGCAUAGGUGACCAUGUUCUUGAGCUUGCAUGUCAAAUUUUUAUGGUUCCAAGUAGUUCUAAUGCUUGAUAUAGGCUCUAGGCACUUGUAGGAGUAGUUGAUAUCAAUAUUAUUGAAUUUGGUUUACUUUUAUUUUGAAUUUACUAAAAAUUUCAGAAUUUUUCAGAGAAAAACAAUAUGUUUAGGAAGAUGUUCCAAGGUGGUUCCUCUAAGAAGCAAGAACCCAGGAUUGCUAUGCGCGAUGCUGACGAGGAUCCACCAAGAGACGCUCCGGUGCGGCCUUGCGAAUGGCCGUCGGAAAAUUUUAUGGACCGUGUGGGAACUAAAGAAGAAUUCAAAUCAUAUUUGCGCAAUGCCGGUCUUGAGGAUUUUGAGGCUAACAAAUGCCCCCAGUAUCAUGAUCUCACAAGCUCAUUUGUGAGGAGGUUUGAGUAUUCAUCUUCGCGUAAUUCUCCUUCAGUCAUGUUUGAUCUUUAUGACAAAUCUUAUACCAUGGACCUAGAGGAUUUCACUUCUGCUUGCGAACUUCCAUCGUGGGGCAGUAUUAGGGAUCCCCCUAAAUCUGAAUUUAGAAACUUUCUUUCUAGUAUAACUGUGGGGGAAUCCAGAGAUAUAACGCAAGCUACCAUAGGGAGCGUUCACUUUCCUUCUAUACAUUAUUUUUCUCUUUUCUCGGUAGAUGCAUAAAUGCUAAGGAUGAAGCAUGUCACAUGUGUGUCCCUAAUCUUAGCAUUCUUAGGAGUGCUGUGUUAGGAGACCAAUCUUAUCAUAUGGGAGCCAUUGUAGCUCAUAGGUUGCAUCAUAAUAGACAUUCGUGAGGGUGAUAUGGAGUUGCCUCCUGCAUAUUUAGAUUAUAACUCUAUGGCUUCGCACCAGUUUGUCGAGAGGCCUGAAUCACCUCUCUUAUAUCGCUUAAUUUUUGAUAAACGAUGUGUUUUCCGUAUUACUCUCCCUGCUCCUGCCUUCUUUGAUUCACAGACAAAAGGAAGAUAUGUUAUUACCAGAGAGGAGGCAGAAGAGUACGAGAGGAGGGCGGGGGCAGCCCGACUCCACGCUGCAGCUCAGCAGGUGAUAACCGCUGCACAUAAGUAUGAUCCCAACUAUUCCUCUUCAUCACAGUAUGAUCCCAACAACUAUUAUUAUGGAUAUCCGCCAGGCCAGCCGUGGCCAUAGACCAACUUAGGCCAAAAGCCUAAGCUUGGGGGAGUACGUAUUUCUCACCGACAUUACAUUUAUGUUCACACACACUCAUUGCUAGAUGUCGGUGCUCAUACUUUUUCACUGUAAUAUCCAUGCUAGUUUAUUUUUCUUUUCCUGCUUUCUUCUUGUGUGUUUGUUAAACCUUAAGAAAAACCAAAAAAUUUAGUAGUAGUUUAUUUUUCUGCUGUAGUAGUAAUAAUUAAAAAGAAAACCUGAAAAUAUUUCCCGUUCUUCUUUUGCUUGUUGGGAGCUUUCCCGUGUAAAUAGUUUUAUUUCUUUUCUUUGGGGGUCAGUAGGAGAAGACCAUAAUUAAAUUGUUGAAGUGGCUCUUAUAUGCGUUAUUGUUGAUUUAACCCAGAGCCCAUAUUGCCUUGUCUUCUCCUGUUUAUUGAAUGCUCGCAGAUUCCAGCUUAGUCCAAUGGACGUUCACUCUUAUUAUUAUUUACACCGUUCGGUCGUGCAAGUGAAAGGCAAUUAUGAUGAUAUAUGAUGGACUGACUGAGAUGAGAAAAGCUGGUAUGAACUCGACCUCUUUUGUUUUUGUAAAUAUGAUGAGCCCGUCGUUCUAGAUUCAGCUUACUAUGAAUAAACAUGUUUGCAAUGACAAUUAGAGAUCAUAGUUGCUUGUGCCAUGCUUGAUUAGCUAUGAGUUAUAAUGGUUUACCUUGUAUGCCAACAUGCUAUUGAGAUGAUUAUGAUGUGGUAUGAUGGGGUGGUAUCCUGUUUUGAAUGAUUUAAGUGACUUAACUUGGCACAUGUUCACACAUGUAGUUGAAACAAAAUCAACAUAGCCUUCACGAUAUUUAUGUUCAUCGUGGAUUAUAUCCUACUCAUGCUUGCAUACAAUGUUUAUUAAUUUUAAUGCAUGUACAUGGCUGUUGUCGCUCUCUAGUUGGUCGCUUCCCAGUCUUUUGCUAGCCUUCACCUGUACUAAGCGGGACUGCUUGUGCAUCCAAUCCCUUAAACCCCAAAGUUAUUCCAGAUGAGUCCACUAUACCUUCCUAUAUGCGGUAUCUACCUGCCGUUCCAAGUAAAUUUGUAUGUGCCAAACUCUAAACCUUUAAAUAAAUAUUCUGUUUUGUAUGCUCGAAUAGCUCAUGUAUCAACAAAGGUUGUCCUUAUCUUUCGUGUUAGGCGGGUUAUUCUCAAGAGGAGUGGACUCCGCUCCUCACUCACGAGAAAAUGGCUGGUCACCGGGAUGCCCAGUCCCAUGCUUUAUGCAAACUAAAUCAAAAUUAAUUGCAAACAAAGCUCCCCCUGGGACCUGAUGUAUGUUGGAGGGACUCGUUGUUUCGAGCAAGCCAUGGAUUGAUGCUUGUUGGUGGAGGGGGAGUAUAAACUCUACCAUUCUGUUUGGGAACCGCCUAUAAUGUGUUUAGCAUGGAAGAUAUCGCCAUGUCUUAGUUGCUACGUUGACAAUGAAAGUAUACCGCUCAAAAUACAAUUUAUCUAUUUCAAAACCGAGCUUUGGCACCUCUACAAAUCCCUGCUUCCCUCUGCGAAGGGCCUAUCCAUUUACUUUUAUGCUGAGUCAUCACCCUCUUAUUAAAAAGCACUAGCUGGAGAGCACAACCGUCAUUUGCAUUCAUCACUGUUAAUUUAUAUUGGGUGUGACUAUGAUUGGAUCUCUUUUACCAUGAAUUACAAUGUCUAGUCAGUCCUUGAUCUUUAAAGGUGCUCUGCAUUUAUGUUUUGCGGUCUUAGAAAGGGCUAGCGAGAUACCAUCUUGUUAUAUCAUAUUAUGAUUGUUUUGAGGAAGUGUUGUCAUCUGAGAUUUAUUAUUAUGACUUGCUAGUUGAUUAUGCUAUUGAUAUGGGUAAUUGUGAGACCUGAGAAUUAUUACAAAUGAGGUUAGUUAUGAUCUAUGCUAAAAACUUGAAUGCUGGCUUGACAUAGUUACAACAACAAGAGCAAACAGAGUUUGUAAAAGUUUUUCUUUCUUUCAAUUUGUCAACUGAAUUGCUUGAGGACAAGCAAGGGUUUAAGCUUGGGGGAGUUGAUAUGUCUCCUUCUUAUCUACUUUUCCAAACACUUUUGCCCUUAUUUUGGACUCUAACUUGUAUGAUUUGAAUGGAACUAACCCGGAUUGAUGCUGUUUUCAGCAGAAUUACCAUGAUGUUGUUUUAUGUGCAGAAAAAAAUAUUCUCAGAAUGACCUGAAACUCCACGGGAGGUCUUAGAAAAAAUAAUAAAAAAUCCUUGCCAAAUAUGAAGACCAGGGGGCCCACACCCUUCUCACGGGGGUGGGGGGCACCCCCCAGGGCGCGCCCCCCUACCUCGUGGGCCCCUUGUUGACCCUCCGACGCCAACUCCAACUCUAUAUAUUUGCUUUCAGAGAGAAAAAAAA
Molecule: long non-coding RNA, 61011 nt
Filed under: Triticum aestivum (bread wheat)
Lineage: Eukaryota; Viridiplantae; Streptophyta; Magnoliopsida; Poales; Poaceae
Description: long non-coding RNA (TAES_LNC014782)
Source: RNAcentral